AUAUAUACAUAUUAACUAGCUUGAUUUUGCGUAACUACUAAAGUUUGCUUCAAUUUUAAGACAAGGUUGUAUAUCUACAUCAUAUCCUUUAGAAAAUAAUAUAGUUUUGCAUAUACACAGAAAAUGUUUUCCAUUUUGAAAGGAAAGAGAAUGUACAUAGAUGUGGCAUCCUCUAAAAAGUUGAAUGGGCAAUGAUAAUGAUGGUGCAACAACCGAGGACAUAUUUGUGAUUAAUUAAGUGCAACACUUAACCCUAUUUAGUAGGUAGCAACUGUAAUAACAGUUGUUAUUGUUAUUCUGGUAAUUGUCUGAAUUAGUUGUGCUGUUCUUAUCAUCAUAUAGAUAUUUAUAUGUAUCAGGUUUUUGUUUUCAUCUCCAACUAAUUUUUCUAGAUUUUCUUGAUGAAGAUGAUGGGUUGUUGUUCUUGAAAGAUUACUAUGCCUCAAAAAAAUGCAAUCAGUUGUUUAAUUAGGCUAAAAUUCUUCAGUAGUUCCUUUUCGCUAGUAAUAAUAUAUAUAAUUGGUUUUAGAGUAUUAAAAUCUCCAUCUGUGUACUCAAUUGGGACUGGUAUUAAAAUCUCCAUUUGUGUAUUAAAUUGGGCUGAUAACAAUUAAACAUGGAGACAUGUAGACAAAGCACAUGAGGAAGGACCACAACUUCUCCCAAUUACAUUAACAAGUAGAGGCACAUGGCUUCUAUUUAGUAGUGUAGCCCAGUGUUAUUUGUGCUUAUUUAGCUUUGGCCUUCAUUAAGGUUGGUGGAGAGGAAGUGAUUGCAAAGCUGUGGGGAAUUUUGUGCCUUUCCUACUCCCUCUUAUUCUUAGUCCAUGAAGAGAUAGCAAUGUGUCUGAAGGACCCCUCCCAGAUUCCAUCUUUGUUGGUUGCCAUUCAUUGGUUUGCUUCUCCAUAUAUCAUCUCCAGCUCAUCAUCCACCAUUGGGCCAUGAACCAUAUCUGGGGUUUUUGAACAACUCCUGCAGCUAAUGCAGAGUUAAUUUAGCUUUCCACUGCAGCUAGAAGCAGAAAUCUCACUCGAAAAGCUUAUUUCAUUUUUCCACCACAGAACAAAACUUUAAACCUUCUGUUUGGAGAGCUACACUGGCGGAAACUCCGCCUUGACAUUACACAUACUUUAGCAAGUAUUGCAGCACAAGGGCCGAUACAAAUGUGCAUUUAAAGCAAUUGAAAAUGGCUGGAGGGGGAAAAAACAAAAAACAAAAUAGAGCUGUCCAUUAUCUUCUGCCCUCGACUACACGCAUGAUUAAUUGAUCAACCAUGGAUGCAACUGGAAGAACAGCGCAAUUACUAUCAUGUUGGGCGGGGAGGCCAACAAGAAUCAACUGGACAAGAACUUGAGAUUGUGAAGCCCUUGGUGUCUGCUGGCCCAAGGUGAAAUGCGGCUUUUUUUAUCGGCCCAAAAACUCGGAUAAUAAGACAGUUUAUUAUCCCAUAGGAGGACUCCAACUGAUUCUCAUGGAUUGAAACGGCGAACAGUAAUUCUAAAGCUUCAUAGUCGAAGUUGCUUCCAAUCCGGUCGAAUUUUGUCCGAGCAUUUGAGCAGAGGCUUGGGUAGUCAUUGAUGUGUAAAGUUCACAGCUCCCUCAAGCCAACAAAGAAUCACCAACUCCUUAGAUGUCCCGAACAAUGCAGCAACUCUCAUUAAUGGGGAAAACAGCUCAAUCUAGCUUCAGUUUAGCUGUUUCUUGUCCUGAACAGCUUUUGAGGCUUUAGCCAACUCCUCGGCAGUAACUGGCUUGUGCAGCUGCAAAAAUUAAAGAUGACAUCUUAGCAUUUCUAGCAGGCUAAAUCUUUAUGAAAUGUAUUCUCUGUAUCAGUUCAACCUAAGAAGUAUAUACAGCACAAGGGGCGUGAGUUUGUUUAUGUAAUCCUUCAGGCAUGAGAGAGCUAGCAACAGCAGCACGGAAUUAAAUAAUAUUAUGCUGGAAUUUUGGUUCACAUUCUUUUGUCAUAAUUCCCGAUUUGUAGAUGGUAAUGUGAGAAGACAACUUAUACAAGAACACUCACCGCAUUGGCAACAGGAAACCAAUGGAAGCACCGAAGGAGAGGGUCAUCCGUCGAAGGGAGAAUGUCAUGAUCCCAAUACGUUACGCUACGAAACUCGGCACGUGAUGCCCAACUACUGAAAUCCCCAUCCGUCGAGCCUUCCGCAUCCUUUCCCUUCCCCAGUUUCUUCCUCUCCAAUAUAUAUCCUAAGCAAAUAUUUACAAGGAGAGAGGUUACAUUUCAGUUCAUAUACUUGAAUUCAUCUCGAAUGAUGAUAAAAUCUCGUAAGUGGUUCAAUGAAGUUGGUUUCGUGAACUUGCAUCCGUGAGAGAGAAUGGAGAUGUGGUGUGUUACUGCGAUAACUUAAAACUAGUCUAUGAGGCAUCCCAAUCAGCGCUCGAUUGCAUCGUGAACAAACAAAUUGUACCUUAAAACCUCCAUGUAAACAUCAAAUAGGUGUCUUCUUGUUCUAUAUGGGCCGAUUAAAUGGAAAUUAGGAAGCUCGAAAAUCUAGUUCUACGGACUAUUGAUGGCACAUCAAAUUUCAUAAACCCUUAGAGACAGUCAACAAUGAGACUUUACGGAAUCACCUUCGAUUUGAGAUAUCCGAGCAGGCCCCUAGUUUAGUUUCAAUCAUAAAUUGAGGCUAGCAAAAGUUUGAACACCAAAGAAUAAGUUUCACCUCAUUUUCGCUUUCUCUAAUUUCAAAAUGUGUUGUGUUCAAAAAUUUUGCCUCAUUUUCCAUCUUUUUAAAGGAAAAAUCGGAUUUUGAUGAAUACCCAACACAACUCAUCAACAUGCGACCCCGAAAACUCACCGCGAUAGCCAUCGGGUAUGGGGACGGUGGCGCCCAGCAACUUCCUCCCUCUGAAGAAAGCCUCCUCCACGCUCAAUCCGUCCACCUCCACAUCUACAUCCAUGGCGAAAAUGGAUCGGAAAUUUAGGGUUUGGGAAACGAAUCGAAGAGCGCAAGGGAAGGGGAAACGAAGAUUACCCGUUGUCCGAGGCUUGAAGUAGUGGGAAAUGGCGCAGGGCCCGUUGUGCUUGAUGGAGCAGGGGAGGAGGUGGACGCCGCCGAUGGCGUCCGCGGCGGAAGGAGGCGGCGGGCUACGGCGGAGGCGGAUCGUUCCGGCGACUCCUCCUCCGUGGGCGGCGGCGGACGUGGUGGUGGUCGCCGGAGGAGAAACCCUAGGGCUACUGCGCUCGUCCUCCAUGGAUGGGGAAACUGAAACCCUAGCGAGGAUUUUUUACUUCUUUUUGGGUAAUGGUGUUGUAUGAGCUCGAUUACUUCCCCGCUCUAAAUAAAACACAAAACAAGACCUUUGAAAUAUAUAUAAACACACACACUAACACACACAUAUGACGUAUAUAGUAUAGUUUACUCUCUGAAUUUUCAAUUUAUUAAAAUUUAUUUCAUGAAUAAUAAUUUUAUUAUUACAAUCCACUGUAAUACUCUCACUCUCAAUGUGAAUUAGUCAAAUUUGAGUGAGUUGACCAACUUGUCAAUUUUGUAUUCAAUUAUAGCCUAUUUGUUGGAUAUUUGUUUCAGCACCCAAAUUCCGAGAUCGCUCAAAAUCACACUCAUAGUUGUACAAAAAUCGACCUUUUGAUUUCGGCGUAGGGUUGAAGUUGAGUUUGUAAAAACUCAUAAAUUCUUCGCGAAGUUCCAUUUCCAAACAACCCAUUCGACAACAAAAAUAAACAGUCUGAGAUUAACUUAUCAAGAGAUCACGAGUUUGACAGAUAUAUAUAUAUAUAUAUAUAUAUAAAUCGAAAGCAAGGUGUGACGAAUGAAACAUAUUAAUCAGCAAAAAAUUGCGAAGAGUACAAUUACACUGUUACAACUCGAACUUAAAGUACAACCUCUAAUGGUACAAACUCGAAAAAGAAAAAGAAGCACAAUGCCGAAGCUCGAAGUCUCUUCUUCCCCCUCUUUCCUGUUUAGUAAGCACGCAAACUACCAAUCGAAGAAGUCCUGGCCGGCCUUCGAAAGCAAUUCCUUCCCGGCAUCUUUGCCCAUUGCGACCAUAACAUCAUACUCGUAUAGCCCUGUUUGCGUUGUCUCCAAUACUAGAAGUUGGCCCCAAAAGAAAACAAAAGCCAAAAAAAAAAGAAUCAUCAGAAACAGUAAUCAGAUGAAAAAUGGGUUUUUUUUUUUUUUUUUUAGCUUGAGCUAUAUCAGGAUAAUUUACCUCGAGUACCAUCGGGUGAAGCGACCAAACCUCUAAAUGUACAGUUCCCGUCAUUAUCACGACAAGCAUAGCCAGCGAUCGGAGUUCGACAGGAACCAUCAAGUGUCUCAAGGAAUGCCCUUUCACAAGCAACAGCUAAUCUGGUCUCCUCAUGAUUCAGAGAAGAUAAAUAGUUAAUCUGUCAAAAAUCAAGUUUAGCUUCGAUUCCAUCUAUAGAAAGUUGUGUAAUAAGAGUAAUGCAAUGUAUAAGAUUAGCCCAUAUGUGUGUUAUCGAACACUAUUUUUAGAACAUUAAUUCUGCAGCAAGGUUAUGCCCCAUUGAUGUCAAUAUUAGCAACCAAUGAGUUCAUGUUCAAAAGGCAUCAUCUUUUUCCUUCUUAAACUUCGUUUAUGACUUAUAAGGAACUCUACGAGAAUGACUUCCUCGAUCCAUCCCUAAUCUACAAUGAAGAUAGAAUACUCUACCUGUCAACCGACCCUCUCUGAGCACUUAAAUAGAGGAGAUUACAAUAUCCAAAGAUUAUGAUGAACCAUGAAAGUAAGAAGAUACAUUAUUUUCCUGUUGGGGUACAAUGGAAAGAACUUUUUUUUUUGGCAAAAGAAGUUUGAAUCUAGACAUAGAGCCAUGCCUACUUUAGUUUUUUAAUAGUGCAUUGUCUUUAUUACAGAAAUGUUGAGCAACAUUAUAUAAUCACAUUGACAAAUUAUCGACAGAGUAGCCCAGCAUAUAUCUAAUUUACAAAGCACAAGAUAGCUAUAGGGACUCACUGAAUAAUAUUAUUAUUAAUACUCUUUUAGUUUGGACUCCAUAUAAUGCUUAAUUAAUUCUUUAAUAGUUAUGGAUCUACAGCAAGACUAUAGACGAUGACAGUUAUUUGAAUUUAACCAAGAAGUUAGUAUAUAAUAUGCCAAAAUUUAGAGUUCACGAUGCAUCUCUGCUGUCAUUUAUAGAAUAUAGUCAUCAUCUGACAGGUUUGCUUUCGCAUAGAGGCCACCUAAAAAUCAGUAUUUUCAGCCAGCAUUAUAAACCAUAAAAAUUUCCAUUUCCAGACCUCUAAAAAUUUCAAAUUAGCAUGUAUUUUGAAAAAAUAGUUAACUUUUCUUUCUAAUCUCAUCCUCUGAAAUAAGAAAAAGAAAACUGUAAUUAAAGAAAAAUAUAUAUAUUAUCAGGGAUUUACCAUUUUAUCAUCGUCGCUUCUACAGGCUAUUCCGAUAGCACCUUGAGCAAUUGCAGGAAGCAUUUCUUCCACAGAUAGUAUAGCUGUGAGAUUUUCAGUCAUAUUUAGCCGCUUGAGCCCGGCUAGGGCCAAUAAUGUUGCAUGGACUAUUCCCUCAUUCAGCUUCUUCAGUCUCGUCUGAACAUUUCCUCUGAAGUUUUCAACCUGAAAUUCAGGACUGUGAGACUCAGACAAAAGAUGCUUCAAGGAAGAAAAAGAAAAAUACACGUCAAGACAGACGAGACUCAACUAUGUUCUAAAAUCUAAAUGCUGUAGGAUAUAGUUGUCAAUAUAUAUAUUGGAGAGAUUUCUUUUUUCCUUGUAUUUUCACUUUACUUGGGCCGGUGGGUGGGGGGAUGGGGAUCAAAAUUUGCAGCGAACUGGAUCAAUUACUUUAUGCCAAAAGUUCCCAACAAAAAGUAAUAAGAUACAACUUGGCAGCAACUUUAAAGAACCAUCCAUCGGAUCGUUCAAGUGAAAGAAGGCAAGAACAUCUGGGCACACCUUUAACUAUAGGUUAAUUUGUAAUCGAUCCUGAAGUUAAAAGUUUUUUGGGAUCUGAACCCCUCAACCGAAGCACUAUUGGACUGCAGAAAAAUUCCUUCAACAGCAGUCCAUGUCAUUUUUUGGACUGAAAGAAGACACUGUCAUGCAACUUAACUAGUUUGUAACUUUUCAACGACUUUUUGACGACAUCAUUACAUUCUGAAGGAACCUAUAGGGAUUUUCUCAACUAAACAGUACACUAGUUGAGGUUAUCAUGUAAAAGGAAAGUAAAGGUUCAGAGAUAUGUUUUCAGAUGAGCUAUAGUUUAUUGGAUCUCUGCACAUUCUUGCCAAAAAUAGAAACGCACAAAAGUGCAAGAAGGUACUACACAAUGUUGUAAGAGUUAUCAAAAGAUAUAACAGUUGCGAUAAUCUCUUGCCCUGGAAAUACAAAUGCAUUAAAAAGCUUACCUUUAAGGAUGGAUAUCUAUGGAGGAUUUGAGACUGUCUUCUUAAGGAAGCACUUCCAACAACACUUCCAGCCGGAAGCUCAGCAAGAGAACUUGCAGUCAAGCUUAUAAAAGCAUCCCUGACAUCUUCUCUUGGUAAAUUGCACGGCAAAAUCAUUCCAUCAGGGACAUACGUGGGGACGUCCUUCAUCGAAUGAACUGCAAUGUCGAUUCUACCUUCCAAGAGAGCCUCAUCGAUCUCCUUCGUGAAUAAGCCUUUUCCGCCAAUAUCAGCUAGCGGUUGAUUCAGUAUUUUGUCACCCGUGGUUUUGAUGAUUAUUAUCUCGAUAGCUCCGUGCUCUGCCAAUUCUGGGUGGGUUGCCAUCAGUUUGUCUCGAGUUUCGUAAGCUUGUGCGAGGGCUAAAGGACUGUCCUACACAACAGUCAAAAGAUAGCUUACUCAAACUAGAAAAACCGACCAAGAAUUUUCAAUACCUAGAAAAGGCUAUAUAUUUUCUACAGUGGACGGCUCAAUGCUAAAAGCGAGUAGAGUUCCAAAAAUACUAUCGCUCCCGAGAUUCAGUAGUUAUACAAGGCAAGCUAUAGUACAGAGAAAAUUAACACAACAUAUGAGUAAAAAAAUAUAGCAGAGAAAAUAAAUAAUUGUGUUCACUACAAGCAAGCACCAGAGAUGAAUAGUAUAAAAAAAAACACAAGUUUUUGCUCUGUUUAAUGCCAAUACCCUAGAAUAGUGAAGGGUCGUGGAACUUGGAUCCUUAACAUUUUAACAAACAAAAAUGAAGUUCCAAAUCUGAAUACAAACAAGUAUAAAAACAACAAAGCUUAAAUUUUGUUCAACUUAUACAGGGCAAAAGCUAAAAUCCGGAUAAAAUACAAAUUAACAAGUCAUUCAAAAGUCAAAUAAAAGACUUAAAUUCGCCAUCUAGAUUGAAAACCCAGUAGAAUAAUGAGCAAUAUAAACUAUAAAGAAGUAGAAAUCCCCACUAAUCUGCCGCAUCAAUAUCAAAACAAAACAAGCUAAAAAUCCAACUUUGACCUAAAACCCCUAAUAUCUAACACAAUCAGAGAUGACCCGCCUCGAAUUUAACAAGGAUAAACCCAAAAAUAAGAGAACUCUACCUCCUCCUCAAAGAUGCAAAUGCUCAAAUUUGCCAACAAUAUUAUGCACACGACAAACUGAAGAGUAGCAAACCCCACAAAUCUAUGCAAUUAUUACCACAAAAACCAAGCCAAAGUUGCAAUUUUUACCCCAAAACCCCCAAUAUCGAACAAAAUCAGAGGAUGCGCACAUCGAAUGUAACAAGGAUAGAGCUCUACCUCCCUCUGGUCCCAAUCCUCAACAGGGAGACCUUGGCCUGGGUCUCCUGCUCCACGGCCACGGCCGCGUUACUGGCCAUGGUCCUUCUUCUAGGGCUUCUCGAGCGGGAUGGGCGGAGCCCAGUAGGCGAGGCGGGGCGGCGAAGAAGAUGAGAGGGAGAAGUGAGGAGAGGGUGGUGGGUAGCAGGGGAUCUCAUGGAGAUGGGCCACGCCAUUGUUAGGGUAGAGGAGGAGUCUGAAGAGGGGGUGGAGAAGCGGAAGAGGAGGAGGAGAGGUGUGGGCGUGGUUGAGGAAGCACCCACAUGAGAUUAGAGAAGGGAUUUGGGGGGGAUUUGGGGUUUUUAUACGCGGGAUGGGGAGAGAGAGAGCGUAGAGAGGAGGAGAUAAUGUCAGUGGAUUGGCCAAUCACAUCACUACCCUGCAUGUCUUUUUUUUUUUAAAAAAAAGGAUUUUUUUUAGGUAUUUAUUGCCAUCUUUUAUAAUAUUUUUACAAAUGUCCUCAAAUAGCCACUAUUUACAUAAUGUUAUUAUGUAAAGAGUUUGUUUGGUUUUUUGGAAAAUAUUUUAAAAAAUAGUUUUUUUAGUUGAAGAUGUACUUUUUGACCAUUUGGUUUCUUAAAAAGAUGACAUUUUUUCAAUGUUUUUUUAUUUGGUUCCUAUAAAAAGUAACUUUUUUAGGAUUUUUUCAGAUAUUAUAAAAAAAUUGUUACUUUGUAUAUUUAUAUUUGUAUUCAAAAAAUAUUUCAAAAUUAUUUUUUUUUAAAAAAAAGAGACAUUUUUCAAGGAACUAAACAACCCCCUAAAAUGUGAGAAUCAAAAUUCAAAUGCUGAAGGCUCUGUGGAUGGAAAUAUGAAACCAUUUUCAUAUAAAUCCUCUCAACAGGUUCACCUGAAUUGACUACAAUCAAACCUUUUGUAGUCCAAAAGUUUGCUUUAGCUCCUCAAUCCAGCAAAAAUCUCCUGAACUUUUCAUUGCAAAUGCUCGACUUUUGCUUCUCGAGUAAAUAACCAGUAGGAUACAAUAGGAUACCAUACAUGGACACACAUAAAACCAAAAAAACAAAAAAAAAAAAUUGUGUAUAAAGAGAUCAAUCAAUGGUUUUAUCAGAUUCAGUGAAUAUAAAGAGAUCAAUUCAAUACCAGAUCUACAACCAAAAGAUUAUCGUGCGAAAAACCAAAAAAAAAAAAAAAUAGAAAGGUCGAGAGUCCAGCUCAUCUCCACAGAUUGAAAAAAUUAUGGUACACUGCAACUGCAAGUUUGUUCUACUCAAAAACUAGUAAGAAAUCAGUUUAAAAAAGGAAAAAAAAAAAAACCCCUUAAUUGUCAGCAUCACUCGACCAUCCACAUACAAAAUGUAUCCGCUUUCACGCUUCGAGAUUAAACAGAAGAUAACCAUCAUCUGAAACAGCUUAUGAUGAAGUGUUUUUUCUCGCAAGCGCAUUUUCCUCCUCACUCCUGCUUCUUUGGCUUAUGAACCUUAACAUAAGGGAAGAUCCCAAAAAGAUAUACUACCUUGGGCUCCCAUCCGAGUUGCUGAGCCCGACAAAACAUGAGAAAAGUGUUCGCAAAGUAUGAGUUGAAGCCCAUCAAAACAUGCCACCAUGCAUGGCCUUGCGGGUUAAAGUACCAUUUAGAGAAUUUCUUGCAACAUAUGCGAUCGAAUAACCAAAAUAGAGUUCCAAGACUUAUUGUCGCCACAUAGAGCUUGGCGAGCCUCUUUGCGGCUGCGUCUCUGGUUUGUAUGUAGUACUUGUACAUGCGCGGAAUGCAGAGAAGGCACAAGGCGAUGUAGUGUAAUUUGAAUACUAUUCGGAAAUGGAAUAGAGCAUGGGCGACUGCAAAGGCAGCGCCGUAAAGGAAGAGGAAAGUGGGCAUGGUGCUUCUAUAGUGCCAAUCCGGUGAGUAAAGUACGUAUAUGUAUAAUAGCAUUUCCCAUACCAUUGGUGUCUCAUCACUUUGCUGUAGUCUGUGAAGUAAAAGGAGAUUAAGCAAGCGAAUGAGAAGAAAAAAGAGUGCACGUGGCAUAUAAACCUGUGUGAAUACAAUAUCCUAGUGUUGGGAACUAAAAGACAGUGAUUAACAAAAUGCCUUUCAAAGGUAAAUAUAGAUAUAUCAGUCCACAUCAGUGAAAGUUAUUCGCUAUUAUACAUAAACAUGAAGUCACAAAUUACACCAGCAUGAAACAAAAACCUGUUUGCCAAGCAUAAAGUAUUGCCUCAACAAACAAUAAACUAUAAUGUAUACCUAUAAUAUGCAGUAAAGGCCAUUGUUUGACGUGCGACAUAUAGGUUUCCAAAUAAUUUGUGUGGUAACAUUCAGUGGUUUUGAUUUCUAUUUUAAGUCUUUUAUGGUCGGUUUUCCGUUGAUAGUUUAUCACGACAGUCGAAUCAGCUACGUUAAAUUCAAAACCAACCUGUACAUUAUUCAUAGGGCCACAUAUCCAAUAUUGUUUGGCAUAGAGCAGAAGCAUGCAUACAGUGUUUCUAAAUCAAAUUAUGAAACUUGUAUAACACUCCAUAUAGCUUCAAAUUCAUGAGGUACAAAUGGUGAAAAUUACUCUGGUAUUGCAUGUUGAGGAGGAAGAAAAGGUCAUCAAUCUUUUCCUCUUCAAAAAUAUAGAUCAGCCUUGUCACAUCUCACAAAAUCAAGAGUGAUACAGAGUUACAGACAAGCAAUGAUACUAUACGAAAUACUAAGAAACAGGAUAAAAGGGAAGGGACAAAGAAAACUACCAUGAUAAUGAAGGAACUUACACAUGUUGUAAUGUGGCGUGGAAUAUCAUGCUCCCAGUUGCGAGUAUCAUAUUGGAUAUAUGAAGGACGCUAAACCGCUUCUCAAAUCGUUGCCGCAGGGCAUUUAUAAGGCCAACUAGUGCCAGAAUAAUGCAAGGAAUAUUUGAUAGGGUAUUAUAAAAUUCUGCAAUAUACGAGGAACGUGCAUAGUUCUCCUCACACAACUCAAUCGUGGAUGUAACUGGGCCCCAAAAGCUUGAUACCAUUGAACCAUCCAUUCUUGAGAUUGAAUAAACCUUAAAUUUCAAAUUACAUAAUGGGAAAACCUUGCAUAUAAAAAGACGGCGCUAAGUCGAAGAGCUAGCAAAUGAAAGCACCUGUACAAUAAUUCUUUUGGUAAGCAACUUAAUGACUACAUGUCUAGAAACAAUACCCUCACGAAGCAUUCUGUUAUGCAAAACUUUUUACCUGCUAAAUUUCCGAUUAGAAAAGUUAUAUCCUAAUAACUUUAGACCAAAUUCGCAAAAUGAUCAGUCGCAAUAUGUUUGAAAGGUUACUAAGAAAGUAAAUUAGUACAGCGCACAGCACCAAUUUCUGGUUCCCCCUGGAACAUAAUUUCAUCUCUACAAAGUACAAACCUUCAGACAAACCUAGUCCUUAUCUAAUGGGAAUCACAGCAAAGUAGCUUGAAAUACUAUUAGAAAUUCUUGAAUAACCAGACAAAGAAAGAGAAAUCAGGGUAUCAAGGAGAGAUUUCACUUGAGAUAAUAGCGUAACAAAUAAAACGGAGAAGGCGAUUAUGCAAAAUUUUCUGCUGUUUACAUUAUCCAAUCUACUCAUAUUGUGUUCGCUCAUAUCUAUCCUACUUACCUCUUCCAUCUCUAAGCUCCAACAUCUUCUACGUGAAGCACCUUGAAAGACGAUGAAGCCUUCCAAACAUGAUCCUAAAUAUUACACUUCCCCAUCACAGCUAUAGAAUUGAGACAUAACUCCAAGAAUAUAGCUGUAGAGAUUACAAUCAACAAAAUAUAGAAAAACACUCUUCCUUUCCUACUAGUUUUUCCCAGCAAACCAAGUAAAUGCGAGUUACUACAGCACAUAAAGCGACCAUAACAAACUCAAAAGGCGCAACCCAGCAAAAGGAAAAGUUAAAGCAUAGAGUAGAAUCAACUAAAGCAACACUUUACUCCUCUAAAGCACAAAAAAAGCACUUUUUUUUUCUUGCGAAUUUCUUACCACUAGAAGGGAAUAAGAUCCCUUUGUAAAUCGCCACACUAAAGUGAUGCCCACGUCUCCCUUCUCCAAUCUACACAAGAUUCCCCAAAGUAGAAUAUUCCACGCAUUAAAAACACUAAUUACUGAAGAACAACAACAGCAUUCUCGAACGCGCAUCAUUUAGUCACCAAAAAGCAAAACAAAAAAAAAACAGCGAAUUGCUAAUAAUUCGAAACACUUACAACAAUUAGAUUCAUAAUAAAGCUCCUAUACCUAACAAAGCAUCAAAGACACUAAAUUGACUACAGAUCUCACAGGAAUCACAAUCAAAAAGAGCAAAACGACACAGCAAAAGAUCGAAAUCUACAAUUGGAUCCCGGCGACGACUAGAAUCCAUAAUAACAACUACAAAAUACUCGGAUUAGAUCCGAGAGGAGUGAUCAACUAGGGUUAAAGAAGGAUUCGUGGGGUAUAAAAAACGCGAUUGAAGAUACAGAGAGAGAGAGAGAGAGAGAGAGAGAGAGAGAGAGAGAGAGGAGAUCGUACCUUCGGCGUAGCGCAAGGGGAUCGCAAGGAGGGAGAUCUACUUUAUAUGAGAAAAUUAAAAAUUUAUGGGGGUAAAAUAUUUUAUUUAUUUAUUUAUAUAAUUAUAUUAAUAUUUAUACAUUUAUUAUAAAAGAAGGUGAAAGUGUANUAAAGAAGGAUUCGUGGGGUAUAAAAAACGCGAUUAUAUAUAUAUAUAUAUAUAUAUAUAGAGAGAGAGAGAGAGAGAGAGAGAGAGAGAGAGAGAGAGGGGGUUAUAAAAAAGUGAGCUUAGGGUUUGAAUCUACUUUAUAUGAGAAAAUUAAAAAUUUAUGGGGGUAAAAUAUUUUAUUUAUUUAUUUAUAUAAUUAUAUUAAUAUUUAUACAUUUAUUAUAAAAGAAGGUGAAAGUGUAUGGAAACGCCCUCAAGUAUAUUAUUUUCUGAAAUUACCCCUGAUAUUCUAUAUGUUUUUUUUUAUUGACAACUUUUUUAAAAAAAAAUUGUUAAUUUUGUAGCCUAAUUAGACAUUAGAAGUUCAUGAAUUCAGAUUUAUUCGCUAUAAAAAUAUUUAAACUAUUAAUUUUAAUAAAUUGUUAGUUAAUCUGAUAAAGAUAAUUCAAUUUUAAAAAAUUCUGUUGGUUGAGGGGUCUUAAUAACAAAUAUAUAUAAUUGAGGGGUCUUCAUACAUAUUUACCUGUAAAAUUAAGUAAAUAAAUGGGUGGCAAUGGUUCGGCUUGGAUAGUAAUAGAUCCAUUAGAAAUUAUUUUUUUUUAAAAAAAAGUGGAUUAUAAAUUAAUAUUUUUAAUUUAAAAAUAUAAGUUUCAACUCUAUGGAUAAUUAAUAUUCUAACCAAUAAUCUCAAUCAAAUUAUGUACUUCCAUAACUACACUUUUUCCACUUAAAUGUGAAAAAUAUUUCAAAUGAAAAAGAAAAAUGAAUGCAUAGAUUGAUUUCCGUGCACAACAUUUAUGAUGUGAUCGUCCCGUACUUAAGAUUUUUCUAAAUGCCGGUCUCCGAGUCUUUAAAAUUAUUUUACUAUUGAAAAAAAUUAAAAAAAAUAUUUAUAUAGUUUGACCUCAAUUUAGAUAAGACAAAAAAAAAACAUAAAAAUAAUUUUUAUAUUAUAUCCACUAUUUUUAGCGUAAAUAAAUAUAAACUUAAUAAUUUAUGCUCAAAAUUUUAAAUUUUAAAUAAAAUAAAUAAAUAAAGCGUCUCAAAAAUAUAAUUUUUUUAUUAAAAUAAAGUGAGAGAAAAAAAGGUACAUGAACAAUGUCAGAAUAGUAUAAAAAAUAUUUUGGUCCACAAAUAGUCCUUUAUGAAUUAUUAAAUGUUAAUAUGAGGACAAACACGUAUUUAUAUGAAUCAAUUAAAUAAAUAAAUUCAAAUUGAAUUUUCUCUUUUUUUUUAUAAUUUGAAUUUAUAUUCAAUUAAAUAUUUGCAAUUGCAUACAUUAGAAGACAAAAGGUGUUGCGGAUCGGAUUGCUUCAAUAUCGAGUUUCUACUCGCCCUUUUAAACCCGACCCGUUAAGAAAAGGGUAACGAGUCACGCUCGAGCGCCUCGGAAUAGAUCGGAGUGAGUCGACGCGGCCAUGGGCGUCGUAGCAGCUCCCGCCCCCGCGCUCGCCCCUCCUCCUCCUCCGACGCCGCUCCCCGCGCCGCGUCCCAAACCCCUAACCCUAGGAACGACCGCCGCGAGGAGAUCCCUCCUCUCGUCGUCCUCGGCCCUCCUCCUCUCCUCCGUCCUCCUCGGCCCGUCCUCCGCGGCGGCGGCGGCGGCGGCGCCAUCUCCUCCUCCUCCUCCUCCGCCCCUAGGGGGCUUCGUUGAGAUCCCGGGAUCCGGCGGAGUGAAGGCCCUCGAGCUACGCGCUGGUUCGGGGCAAACCCCUGUCGAUGGGGAUCAGGUAGUGAGAAGCUAACUUGUUCGAUCUAAUCCGGCUCCUUUGCUUCUAUUGUUCAUCUCAUUUUCUUUUGAGAAAAAGUCGAAAUUUUUUACACAAAUUGUAGUAAUAACGCGUGCUAAAUCGGGAUUAAUGGGAGCGCACACUACACGAUGAUCUCUUUGUUGCAGUUCACUGCUCGAAAUUUGGUUUGGUUUGAAGUUUUAGGUUUUUUGUGCUUAAAUUUGUUGAUGAAUUACUAUAUGGUAGGCAUUUUGAGGCUAAGAAAUGUUGAGACAGUAGGAUUAUUCAGAAAUUUGCGGUCAAUUCAUUGCUACUCCUUUCCAAUUCAGAAAAUGAGAUGUAUAAACUGUACCCUUUGUAUAUGUUGUCAUUAUGUUCUUUAUGGAGAUUAAAGCGUUUUUUUCAAAAGAAAAAUGUGUUUUUUUUCCCUCUCUCAUUGAAGGUUGCAAUACAUUAUUAUGGGAGGCUGGCUGCGAAACAAGGAUGGCGCUUUGACUCGACUUACGAGCACAAGGACGCGAUGGGCGAACCCGUUCCCUUUGUGUUUGUUGUUGGAUCGGGAAAAGUAAGAUUAAAAGCCCCUACAAUUUUUCUUUCGGAAGUAAAAGGGUGCAUCUAGUGUGUAUGUAUUAGCAUGUCGAGAAUCUUUAGCACUACUAUAUCUAAAAUGUGUUUACUUGCAGGUUAUAUCAGGAAUUGAGGAAGCAGUGAAGUCCAUGAGAGUAGGAGGUGUCCGUCGCGUGAUUAUUCCACCAUCGCAAGGGUAUCAGAACACAUCGCAGGAGCCGAUACCACCAAAUGUAUGCACACACUACUCAGAAGGCCCUAAUAUAACCACGAUGUGAAGUUUAUUUAACGGAGAAAUGUGUGCAUAAUUUUCUCGUUAAAUGCUUAUAAUACUCUUAGCUCCUAGAGUAACUUUUCUGCUCUAAGAAGCAUAUCCAUGCAUCGGAAAAUGAACAGCAAAGAGCUCUUCCUAUGGCAGGAACUUUGAAGUGAGGCUCUAAACCUCAAAAUGAAUAGCUUCAAUUUGAAACUUCUAUUUAGUUGCAACGGAAGAUUCUUAGAGGACUUCAGGAAAAGGGCAUCAGUGCUUCUUCGAAAUUCUCUAUGUAAACAGCAUUUCUUCAAAAGUUCCAGCUGGUGCCAAUGAAGCCUUUGGUCCACAAGUUGCUUAUUUUUUAAAAAUAGGAGACAUUGCAACCAUCAAAUGUAUGAUCAUGGGUGAGUUAACAUGUCAAAUUAUUCAGGUUUUUUUUUUUGCACUUUUAUGUGCAGUUCUUUGAUCGGCAGAGGCUGUUUACCACUAUAUUCAACCCGACUCGCCUAGCGAAUGGAGAAGGUUCUACUCUUGGUACUCUCAUCUUUGACAUCGAACUUUUGAGUGUGAGAAGGCCAUGAUAAUUGCUGAAUGCUGAUGAAAGCUUGAUGAAGAAGCGGCUUCAUGUGCAUUUCCCGUCCUUUCAUUUUGAUGAAAUGUACAUGAGAUUUUACAUGAUUAGCCACUGAAAAGUGAACAGUGCAACUGUUGUGAAAAGUUAAAAAGCUGAACUGUUAGUUUUAUUCUUUUCUAUUUGUAAGGAUGUAAACAGCAAACUGUAAAUAGGAUACCAUUGAGUUUUACCCAAUCAUAUAAUUGUGUUCAGAUGAGAAUCAGAUCUUUUAACUGUGGUGGAUUAGCCAUCUGUGCAUGAGAGGACUGAAGUCACUGGACCUGAAUAUCUAUUUGCUGCAAAAUGUCAUAAACCUCUUCUCCAACUAAGAAGAGGAUAGACUGUUGCAUACACCUUGUGCAUAAUGUCUGUCGCGGACUGCCUUAUCUGACGUUGUCUAUCAUAUCUCAUAUUUCAAUUCUCAUUGCGCAAUGGAAUAAAUUUCACUGGAUAGGGUAUAGGCCACGAUUCAACAACAAAGGGCUAGUCUGGCCUAGCCAGAGCUUCUGCAAAAACAUUGUUUCACUAUAAAAAUAUAGAUUCUACUAUCUGAUUUAAGGGCCAUCUCCUUAUGCUUUUCUCUUAAAUUUAAGUUGGAGCAUCAGAACUUUAGAAAUUGAAUGCAAUAACAUCAUCAAAAUUCUUCAAAGAAUCUGAUCACAAAAUAUAGAGAAAACAACUGUCCUUCACUGGAUUAUACAGAACAAAAGUACUGUUAGAGAAAGCCAUGUAAAAGGAACCAGCAAACUCGCAGUCCCUACUUCGGCAGACACCAACAGAUAGGUGAACAAUAUGUAUACUCUCCAUAGCAAAUGGUAUGAUGAAGUUCUGAGGCAAAAGUCACUUCAAUGGUGUUCCAAUUCCUCAGACACAUACUUCUUGAUCAACAGCGAGAUUUAGAGCUUUGACAUUAUCUGCAACAGGCGAAUAGAAGCUCUUUUGCGGUCCAUGUCACUUCAGCGAGGUCUCGCAAUGAGGCGAUAGUCUCUUUAUCCAUCGGAAAAAGCUUAGGGAGGCACUCUGCUUUGGAAAAGCAAUUGAGGUUAGUAACAGAGUGAUUAAGGUGAAUACCAUAACUAGAAUACACUAUUCUUUUACCUGGGUGUCUCGCAAAGUUAAGCAGUGAUAGUGAAGCAAGCACCCUCUCUUCAAGUGCUCUAUCGUAGCUCAAGCACUCGAACAGUUGCGGGGCGAGAAUGGAGCACACUAAGGGUUGGAAAUUGUUACUACAACCAUUCAAUAAGGAGAGUGAGUUGCUCACCCACGCGACUGUAACAAGGCAUGAUCGCGCCAAAUUUGGAAUCCCCUCAGCUAUGCAAUUUGAUAGAGCAACCAACAGCCGCUUAUUGCCGCUAGUUAGCAAGAUGGUUGCUAAUUUCUUCAGCCACUCAUCUGUUACCUUUUCUUCUUCCUGGCGAUCGGCAUCGACAAUGUCACCCACAAAGAUCUUACACAAAGUAAUAUAUCAAACUAAACUUGCAAUCAAGAGAUUCAACAAAUGUUCCACACAUUUAAUUCACAGAGCAAAUUACUGGAGCAAAAACAAACAGGAAAUGCCCCAGGGCCAGGGGUGAGAAUUGAGAAUAGAAUUUGAGGAUUAAUAAUGUUCUAUAUACAGUAUCAGAGAAGGGCCCAUAAUUGUCAUUAAUUAGAAUUAGGAAAGAGACAAUGGAUUUAAAUGAAACAUGAACAAGCUAUACACUUGACAAAAAUUCUCGUGCCACCUUAAUUCUACAUUCUUUUCAGUCGGGAUGCAUUCAUGAAUGGCUAGUACCAACAAAAUAUGUAUAGUAGUUCUACGAUUAGAUGAACAAAUAUAAAAAAAAGUACUCAAGAGCCUUGCAGUGAUGCCAAUAUAUUGUAAUCAAUUUCACUUAAGCAAGCAGUGUUGUUUGCUAGCUAAUUAUAAUUGAGGAAUUAUGACAUCUAAUUUGUAAAACAUCUUUAGAAAAUAUAAGCAUACCAUUCUUGCAUUUUUAUCUCCAAGCAUCUCUUCUUUACUGAAGGAACCGUCGGAGCUAUCAUCUAAACCUGCUCUCCUAAGUAGCCAUGCCUCUGUCAUCGCCUUGCCCGAGCAAGAAAAGCGCAUUGCCAAGAGUGAAAGAGCUCUUGCACAUUGUUCUUGUAUUUUCUUGUUGAGUAAAUUUUGUUCCAGUGCCACAAUUAUAGCAUCAAUUCCUUCUUCUCGAUAAACACUGUACUGCAAAUGAUCUCCCUACAAAAAUAACUGCCUUAUAGUGAUUACAUGUAGAUCUAAAGCUGGUAGUUAAAGAAAUUUACAUGUAAUACAAAUAAAAGAAGGGGUUUUACAUAUUCCUCACAGAAAAUCAUCAAUUUGCCCUCCAAAAUCUUUAUAUAUGCACUUUAAAAGUGCAGUUUCAUACUCCAUCGAGUUCAUGCGGGGAGCUGGUUUCGUAUUAGAAAAGGAUUUCUGAAGAGAGGCAUUUGCCUAACUACGAGGGGAUAGGAAUUUGAAGCACAUAUAUAAAAGUCCAGAUUUUGCAGUGAUAUGAAUGUACAUAAUUUAUUUUGCCUGCUUAUAUAAAUAUGUAAAUAUCUCGAUGAAGAAAUGGUCUUCGAAAUAGCACCAGAAGAUCAAGCUGUAACAGAAUUGCUGCAGCCACUGGGCAUUGUGCGAUUGGAGCUUGCUGGAGAUAGACCAACAGGACAUGCAUUGUGUUCAGGCAACCAUUAUUCUUCAGCUCCUUUAAGAACUUGAUGAUCUGAGUUGGCCUGUUUGGCGAAAAAAUACAGAGAAUAAUUCAACAAUAGCUAAAGAACAUCUAAAGAUGGUGCUGGUAAAAAUUGUUCAUAUCAUUGACAAAACUCCUCUGAGAAACCAAAGUAUUAUUGUGGUAACCCUUCUAUCCGAGAAAAGAUUAAUUCCCAUUCAAUUGAACAUCAUGCCAAAUGAAUAUAACUCCAAUUUUACGGACAAUAGUGAGAUAAAUGAUGGCAAACUUAUAGUAAUUUUUGUUGGAUAAGUACUUCCUAACAGUCAAGACGUGCUGCACGCUGAUAAAACAACUUCCUUGACCUCUUGGUUAGUAAAAUUCUGCUGUCGAUAUUGUAAUUGUGUAAUGUGUUUAAAAACAGAAAGAUAGCAAUCAUAGAAACAUUCAUGAUUAGCUUCAUUUUACCUGUUAAGACAGACUAGCUCACUCAGCAAGGUAAGGGCGCUGCCACUGGACUUUAGUUGGUUACCCAUAAGAAGCUGAACAAUGGAUUCCUUCUUUAUAUUAUCAGCCAAGUAAUGCCGACACCUCCCUUCUGCUCGAAUGCAUGCAGCUAAGAGAGACCCACAGCUUCUUCUCUCACGAGCGUUGCCCAUUUCAAAUCUUUUCAUCAGUAGAUCCAACCCACCAAGAGCAACCGUUUGUUUCGCAUUCUCGACAUUUCUAUCCACGUUAAAACCCAUAAGAAGCUGAUCUAAGAAGUAGAAAGCUGCUGCUUUCGGACUGCAUUUUACAUUAAAUAAAGUCUGUAUCUGAUCCCCGCAGUCCAGGACACGCAACACCAGCGGUAUCCAGUCCAAGGAUAGCAUCUGUUUAGCCUUUGGCUUAAUCAGAUAGAGCACUGCUGCUGCUUUUAAGAACAACUUCUUGCUUCUGAAUAAUCGCAAGAAAACCUCAAGUUGUGGGUCUGCAUUCAGUACUACUUGUCUAUUUGCCUCAUUCUUUGAGACUAGCUCGGCCAGUGUAGAAAUUGCCAAUUCUAAUACCUGCUCAUCUUUAGAAGUGAAAGCCACCUCUAAAAGCCCUUCAAUUAAGCUAGACGAGAAUAGUGCUAUCUCUAUGGUAGAGUCUCCGCACGAGUCCAACCAUGCUUUGGCAAUAACACGCACAGCUGAUUCACAUUUUUUAAGAUCAUCUGAUUUUGAAAUCAAAGCAAUUGCUCUUUCUAGAGUUGUUAUUUGCUCAUUGUUUUCUGGUUCUCUGGCAACUUGAGUUGAUUCCUGCUUUGAAUUCGGUUGGCUAUGGAUUGUACCUACAUUUAAGUCACUGCGGCACGAUAAUAGUCGGAAUGAGUAGGACUUGCGGGGAGUUGGUGCCGCUUCGGGAGCUGGGUUCUCUUCUGAAUGUUUGAAUUCCCCUUCUUGAAGCCUCGUAUCACUCUGUCUACUCAGAAAACAAACAUGAUUUGAGAAAUUUCGAAGCAGCCGGUGAUUAAGAAAAGCCGAAAAUGUACUUUCAAUAAUCAAAAUACUUGAACUUAGUUGUCUACAAACAUAAAUAAGAAAUUGAAUUACAAAGCUGAAGCAGUAGUGUUAAGAAACUACUUCAAUUACAUGCAUAAAAGGAGGAUGAAAUCAAAUAAAAAUAAUAAUGCAACUAGUCUGUAUGCAGGAAUGCUGACGAAAGUGGGGACAUUGGGCCAGUUUUUGAACAAAUGUAACAGUAUAUAAUGGUUCAAUUGAGCCCACAAAAUUAUUACUAUUUAAGAUUCUGUGGGGUCAAACUGUUCUGUCCGCGACACUUCUAUUUUAUGCUCGCGAAUCAAUAAAGGGCAUUAAUUUGUCGGUUUACAGUCUCUUUUUUCUUUUUUUCAAUCAUGUAUACAAUCAAGUGAUUCUGCUACAAAUCUCAUUUAUCAUACUUUGUAUUACUAAAUUUCAAAAAAAUCCAAUAAAAAAGAGUAACAGUAAGUGCUUAAUUUAAUAAUGGCUCACAUGAACAAGGUUCCCAAGGCUGAAUCUGCUUUCUUUAGAACCCGAAUAUCUCUCACCCGCUACAUUAAUGUCAUCAAUCACCUCUUCGUCCCUGAUAUCUUCUUCGUGCUCCAGGCCAAAAACCACUCUAUACCUGCAUUUAUUCCAUUCAAAUCCCAGCAAUAAGAUCAAAAUCACAGCAAAAUCAUAGAAAAAUCUAAUUGAGGCAUAUGAUCAAACAAGUCGAAGGCAAAUUUCACUCACAAGUUUCUGCUAAUGGAGCCCCUCGACAACGAAGCUGAUCUCUUCCCCAAGGGCUCUGCAUAAACAGGCCUCAAGGGGAGCGGCACCGAAGGGAGAGGAGGAGCCCUAAAGGCUCCAACUUUAAGCCAUUCCUUGUAGUACAAAGCGAACUGAGCGGUGCCCACGUCCAUCUGAUCAUUAUAAGAGCUCUUCAAACCCUUGAUCCGCUGAUCUCCAUCCUCUGAACCCCAUCCCCGGAUGAUCUCCACUUCCUUAGUGUACCAAAUUUUGAGAUGAAGCAAGUGGGGGAGGAAGAAGUGGUCCCAUAGAUCGGGGAGCAGGGAGUUGCGCGCGAGGUAAGGCGCUUCAACGAACACCUUGAGGAGGUGGCGCGCCGAAACCCCAUCGUUGCGCUCGAUCUUGUAGAUAAUAGAGAGGUAGAGGUGGGCGCACGCGGCGAGGUGCGCGUUGGGGACGCCGCAGGUGCGCGCCCCGCGCUUCCCAGGCGCGGCGGCGAGCGAAGCGACGACGCCGAGCAGGCGCACCGAGUUGCGCAAAGAUCGGAUCUUCGCGUCCCCCGGAGCAACCGCGGCGGGGGCGGCGGCGGCGCGCGGCGGCCCGUCCCACUCAUCGGCGAGGCGCUCGACGCUGUCGACGGCGAGCUCGAGGUUGGCGAGCGCGGGGGAGGGGUCGGCGGAGGCGGGGCGGGUGGCGGCGGCGCACUUGGCGCGGAGGCCGCGGCGGAAAGACGGGUCUUUUAGGAACCGCCCGGCGUAGCCGGAGAGGAUGGCGGUGACGGCGCGCGCGGCCUCCGCGUCGAUAGGGCGGUCGUCGUCGUCGCCGGAGACGGGGAGCGACGCGGCGGCGGUGGCGCGCGGAGGCGCGGGGCGGUGGUUGAGGUCGGAGUGGGGAGGACGGGGUUUGGGUGUUGCGGAGUUGGGUCUACUACGGGGUUUUGGGGGGUGGGAGAGCUCUUGGGCUAGGAGGUCGCGGAGAGAGGAAGAGGACGACGCCAUUGGAGAGGGGUUUGGAGGUGGGCGAGAGAGGAGAGAGAUGGUAAUAAUUAUGCAUUUGGGAGGAGAGAGAGAGAAAAAGAGAGAGAGUGUGGGGACAAAACAAAAGAAACGGGGUGAUGAGGGAGACGAGAGAGAGAGAGAGAGGAGAGAAUAAGGAUACGAGUAAAGCCGCAGUUUUUUUUCUUUAUUAUUAUUCUUUUUGAUUUAAAAGGAAGCGACCGUUAGCGUUCGCAAAUUUGGCGGGAAGCUCCCGGGCACAUGGGAAGUUACGGGCGUUUGGCUUUCCCGUUAAUAAUAUCUCAAAGGGCUUCUUUUUUUUCUUUUUUUUUUUUACUUUUUUUUUUUUGCAUUUUCUCUCAGAUUUAUUUUUCACAAAUAAUCUCACAAAAUUUAUAUUUACAAGAUUUAGCCUAUCCCCGCCACGCGAGCGUCAUAUGAGCGUGAAUAGUGAUAUAGAUUAAGUUGAACACGAUGAAUCAUUUAUCAUAUUUGGACACACUGAAUGAUGCACCGUGUUCCAUUAUUUUAUUAUCAUGAUAUUAAAUAAUAUUUAGAAUUAGAGUUUAAGAAACACCCGGUGAACCAUUCGCUGUUUUUGGACACGGUGAAUGAUUUACUUUUUUCAACUUAACCUAGACUGCAACACACACAUGACGUUUGUAUAACAGAAAUAAGGUAAAUCUUACUUAAAAAUAUAAAUUUUAUGAAACUAUUUGUAAAAUUUUUUUAAGAGGACAACAUGCAAAAAAAAGUCCUAUCUCAAAAGAUAGUUUUAUUUCUUUACUUGGAAAAAUAUUUUUUAUAACAAAUAAUGUUUUUAUUUUUAAAUUUUUUAUUUGAAAAUAAAAAAAUAUUAAAAAAACGUGUUUUCUAUAAAAAUCUCUUUCUAGAAAACAAGUUCCGUGCUAAAACUCAAGUUUAAUUUAUUAUAAACUAUCUAUUUUUCAAACCGUGUUCAAUUAUUUUUGAAUCGACGACCUUCCAUUCUAUUCUAAUACUCUGUGAAAAAAAAAAUAUUUGUUUUAAAAAAAAAGAAAAAAAUUUAAACAAUUAUAAAAUAUUGUUUUAAGUGAUUUUGCAUGUGGGAGUGAGUGGGGAGCCCAUAUGGUGACAACCAACAAGUAGACACACCAUUGCCCAUGUUGUUCAAAUUAGAAUCUAAUGCUCUACUCAGUUGAGCUCCAUUUGAGUGUUGAUACAUAAGCCAAGAGGAGUGGGACAUCUUGGGUUCAUGCCCCAUUUUGAACUUCACUUUUUUCCUUUAUUUUUCAUUUACAUCAUCUUAAUUCGUAACGUUUUUUAGUUAACUUCAUUAGCUGUUUACCUAAGUAGUUGGCUAAAAACUUAAUGAUUAUAUUUAAGAUCCCAAAUUUAAAGUCCAAUUACUUUAUAUUUCUAGCUGAAUUUAUUUUUUUGAACUUUUUAAGCUGCUAACUAUUCUAAUAUCUAUGGCAAAAGAAUCAUUGCAGAGUUAAUAUAUUUGAGUAAAGGAAAAACUUCAAAUACUACGAUUGUAGUUUCGCACUUUUUUUUAUUUCAAUAACCUAUGGUUUAAAGUGUAUCAAUUUAGUACUCCGUGAUUUUUUUUUCUUUUUAUUAUCCCUACUAUUUUUUUUUUCAUUAAAUCAGUAACAAAGUUAAAGCUAAAAGAUACUAAAGUGAGUAUUCAAUAAAUCUAGAUGGGUAUCUUAAGUUUUUGUAUAUAAUAAUUUAACGAAAUAUUAACGGAGGAGCUGACGAAAAAAGAAAAAUAAAACUAUAGGAUACUAAAGAAAAAUAAAACUACAGGUGGGUAUCUUCAGUUUUUUUCUUUCUUUUUAUUUUUAUAGAAGUGGUAUUUAAAGUUUACCUUUGAUUAAAACCACCUAAUUCAAAAUGGCCAAUAGAUGAAUGCCUCACCUCUCUAGCCUAAUUCACUUAUUUAAUGAAUGAAACAGAUAACGUGCUACCGAUUCUCAAAAAAAAAAAAAAAAAAAAAAAAAAAUCACAUGAUACUAAAUUGAUACAGUUUAAACCAUAUGAUACUAAAGUGAAAAAAUACAAAACUAUAGAAGUGAUAUUUAAAGUUUAACUUUGAUUAAAACUACAUAAUUCAAAAUGGCCAAUAGAUGAAGGGGUUCCGGAUUUCCAUACAAUUUGACCUAUGCUACUACAUGCUAUAUACACGCAAAUGGUAUGUGUUUUCUCUUUUUGGUGUGAUUACCUGAGUUGGUAUCUCUUAAUCAAUUGUCUUUUAUAUUAACUUUAACUAUAUGGCAUUCAUUCUUAUAUAAGAAUAUAUAGAUGCAUGGGCUCUGUUGAGGGUGUCGGAAAGGGUUUGUUUUCUAGUUGAAGUGAUAGUCGGACCCGUGACUCCUCUUUAUUUGGUUUCAACUCUUCGCUUGAUGUUCAAUAAUUGAUCCAAAUAACCUGAGAAUAAAUAGUCAAAAAAGUGGGGCUUGUUGUAAACACUAAACACUAAAAAUCCAAAGAUGUAUAGGUACCCAAACCUCUAUUUGAGAUGGUUAGUCACUUCUAGUUUGCUCACCCAAAGGAAAACUGAGAAACAGAUUGUUCCUACAGUAGAAGCUGCAGCUUCCUAUUUGAGUAGAACCUCAUUUAAACACUCUGCUAUAGCUAUAACUUUGAAUAUUUUAUUUACUAAAAUAGAAAAGCUGCUCGAAAAGACCUGAAUAGAAAUUGAAUCCCCUGAAUAUAAACUUUGGCGAUUGCCGAGAAGUCGGCUCGCAGUAUAAGUCGUGUCAAGAAAAGUAUAGUGUGAAAAUUUUAUUGCUUUAUUUGAGGCAUUUAUAUAUCUUGUGCAUUGCGGUAGAGAUGGAAAUUUAAAAUACGGCCAGAGGAUUGAAAAGGUGUUAUGCACAGGAUGUACAGAUGAACGAAGAUAGGCAAUGAUUUUGUAAUGAGAACGAAGGAUGUUUUUCAAAAACUUGUUUACGCAAUGUUAUGGGAUGAGAGUAGUUAAUCCUGCUAUCCUACCACUAUUUUGCGAAACACUCUUCAGCAUUUUGAGGAAAUCAAACAAUUUUAGAGAAUUGUCAUUAGCAGCUCCAACGACUAGGAUAGUAAUUUCAGAGACCGAGUGUAGUCCUGACAAACAGGUGAGUUGGAUAACCCACGGACAGGUUAUUGUACCCACAGGUUACUUGGGCAUGGAUAAAAUUUAUCCGCAAAUUUUUGUAUAGCCAUAUCCGUCCGCGGGUGGGCAGGUGGAUAUGCGGGUUACCCACAAAUUUAGUUUCUUUUUUGCUCUUAUAUUUUUUAAAUGCACAAUAUAUAUAUAUAUAUAUAUAUAUAUAUAUAUAUAUAUAUAUAUAUAUUUUAAAAGUAUAACAUAACUCAUUAUUUAAAAUAUCAUAAUAUAUAAUAAAAAUAUUUAAAUUCUUAAAUCAAAAAAAUUUCAUAAUAUAAAAGAUACGCGAUAAGAAAUUAGGGUUAGGAUUUUUAGGAUGAAUAAAUAAAAAUAUAUUUAUAUAUUUUAAUUAAGAAAAAUAUAUUGUGUAAUUAAAAAAUAUAUAUGCGGGUAUUCGUGGGUACUUGCGAGUUACCCAAAAUGCCCACAACUUAAUAGGUAUCCACCUAUUUUACUCGUAAUUUUUGGAUUGAAAAAUCUGGUAUCCAUACCUAUAAAUUUACAGAUAACUCGCGAGCAUAUGUAGGUAUGGAUUGAUAUUGCCAGGUCUAACCAGAUGGAACUGCUUUAUUAUAAUCAAAUACAACUUUAAGACUUUCUCUUGAAUUUGAAGAGGGCCUUAUGGGCCGACGCAAGGUCCAAAACUCAGAUCAUAGCCCAAACAAAGUUUAUGCAUCGCAAGCCCAAUCGAUCGUCGACCUUGGCAAUUCGGGUUUGGUCCCAGCCCAGUUCCUGCUGCAAAUGGCUCUGCAACUUAUUUCUCUCCUACAAGCUGGUUGGAUUGCUAGUUCAAGAAUUGGCUCCCAGCAUUGUCGAUUGGAUUGAAUAAGAUAAGAUGAAAGAGUAGUUCUUAAAACGAAAAAAAGAAAAAGAAGCUUUAGCAUUCCAGAUACGAAUAGUAGAGCAGGUUGAAUGCAUUAAAAUUUUUCCAAAUUAAAUUCUUUUAAUCCUGUGUUUUUUUGAGAGAAAGGUAGCACGCUAUCCGAUUCAUUCAGUAAGAACGUGAAUUAAGCUAUAUGGGUGAGGCGGGGGGUGCUCAGCUACAGUUGAGUCAGUCUAGUGAAAGUUUCAUCCACAGGUUCGUCAACUGAUUGAUCUUUUAAUCCUGUGUUAACGAGAUUGUUUGAUCUGAUCAGAUUUUUUUUUCCACGUCUCCUGAGAUUUCUGAUGCUUCUAGUCAGUUCAAAAGAAAGAAAUGAUACCUUUCGUUGGUGGACGAGAAUCCCUUUUUUUUUUUUAUCAUCAAUCAACUGUUCUACGAAAUCUAUUGCGUUGCAUCGAAUAAUUUUUUGAAAUAAAAAAAAAUAUUUGGACCGGAACUGUUUAGACCGAGUGAUCCGGUCCAAUUCCCCGAUCGUUGUGAGCUCAUCACAAUCGUCACUCCUCGGAGUCAAAGAAACCCACAAUGUUGUCUUUUCUUUUUUCCCAAGUUCAAAUCUUAAGCCGAAUUAUACAAAAAAAAAUAAAAAAUAAAAUUAAACCUCUUAAUCCGAAUAUAAUAUUUUAAAUAAUAACUAGAUUUAAAAAAUUAAAAGAAUUAAGCGUGCUAAAACUAUAAUAAUUUUAGGAUGCCGGUGACCCUUGAAAAGUGGGUGUCUCAAUACUGAUUCUCAAACUAUAAAAUAAGUAAAAUUUUGGCACUCAAAUUUUAAUGUAGCAAUUUUAUUAUUAGUGAUACACUAACAAAGCGGCAAUAUAUAGUCAAUUAAAUUAGCAUACACCAGCGAAUCAUCAAAUAUAUAGUUAAUUAAAUUAAUAUAUAGUCAAUUAAAUGAUCAAUUAAAUGAAUAUAUAGUCAAUUAAAUUGGUAUACGCUAGCUAGCGAAGAGUCAAUAUAUAAUUAAUUAAAUUAAGGUGUGAGACUCAACAGUAAUAGUUCUAAAAAUUCAAAUAAAAAACUAUGACAAAUAAAAGUUUGCGAACUAAAAUUUCGCUAAAUAAUUAAAGAAUACUUUUUUUGUAUUUAGCUCUAACAAAUUUAUAUUUGCAUAAAUAGUUCUUUUCUUGCCACAUGAUUAUCUAGAUAGUAUUUUUAAAUUGAACAUAGUGAUUAAAUCACCGUAUGUUUUUUGUAUUUUUGUUGUCCCAAAGUUAAAAUUGCCGAUACGGCAAUCGCGUGAUAAGAAGAGAACUAUAUAUCUGUAAAUAUAAAUUUACUAGAAUUAUUUAUAAUUUUUCUUUUUUUAGGGGCUUAAAUAUAAAAAAGUCAUAUAAUGAAAAACAUAGAGCAAUAUUGUGGGGGAGUUAUUGUACCAAACUUCGCGGAGCUUCGGUCCCAAUUACCAGUUUACGCCGACACUCUCAUCGUCGCCAUUGUUCUACGACUAAUUCCGACACUUUGGACGAGCCCUUUGCGUUGUUUAAUCUACCAUUAAUGCGGCGGCGUGUAGUGUUUGCGAGCUCGUAAGGGGGCGCUAACGCGAAGGGGACGAGGAGGAGGAAGAGGAAAUGGCGAGGACGAAGGAGGAGUUCCUGAAGCAGUUCGGCGAGGGCUACGGGUACCCUGAUGCUCCCCGCAACAUCGACGCGAUGCGAGCCCUCGAUUUCAAGCGAUUGGAAGGUUCCCCAAAUCACUCUUCUCCCUUCAAAAUUCGAUCUUCUUCUUCUUUUUGUUUUUUUGGAUUUUUUCGGAGUCGCUUAACUGGGUGUGUGUUUGGGUGGGGUUUUAGGGUUGGUUUACUUGGACCACGCCGGAGCCACGCUCUACUCGGAGGCGCAGAUGGGGGAUGUUGCUAAGGAGCUCGCCAACAGUGUCUAUGGGAACCCUCGUAUCCUCAGAUUGGGUUAAUUUUUGUGGUUUUUUUUUUUUUUUUUUUUUUUUUNUUGUUUGGGGGUUGGAGAUAAAAAUACUGGUUUGAGUUGAAUUACUGGGUUUAUGUUGAAAAAUUGGUGCUUGGAGUAGUAUUUUUAGCGCAUAACAUCCGAAAAGGACCUUUUUUUGUGAAAUUGGAGUAAUAUACCUUUUACUAGGAUUGUUUUUAUUCAAUUUAAUUGGUAAAUUUAGUGGCUUUAAUCACUUUUCGGCAAAUGAAACAAGAAGGGUUUAGAGCUAAUAGCGCCCUUAAAUAUAUAUACUAAAAAAAAAUCUCACCUUUACUAACUAUAAUUACGUGAAUCCAAUAACUUAAAGAGUGAUGGGGUCCCAAUAAAAAUAAAUAAAUAAAUAAAGAUGAGAAUCUAUUUCAAAAUGGCUUGAAAUUGAGUUGGCUUCAGUGCAUGUUUAUCUAAUUUUGGAUUGCUUGGAAACCGAAACUAUGCCAAGUCAAUUUAAUCCUUAUCUGAAUCAUUUUAAAUUGCUGAGCCAUUUAUUAUUAUUAUUUUUAAUUCCUUUUAGUGUAUUCAAGUAGAUAUUGAAUGAACUAUAUUGUGGAGGUUAUUCAUGGUCAUUUUCAGUUAGCUCUGUUAUUGUUUUCCUCUUCUCACAUAAAUCAUGGCGUGUUGGGUUCUUGACAUGAUGAUUUAGAUAGUCAAAGUGAUUCGAGUAUGGCCACCAGUGACGUAGUUGCCGCAGCACGCCUGCAGGUCCUUAACUAUUUAAAUGCAAGUCCAAGAAACUACAAAUGCAUAUUUACUUCUGGGGCAACGGCAGCUUUGAAACUCGUCGGCGAGUGUUUUCCUUGGAGCAGGGAAAGCUGUUACAUGUACACGAUGGAAAACCAUAACAGUGUGCUUGGGAUUAGAGAGUAUCCUUCCUGCAUUGAGAACUAUCUAUUGGAUUCUGGCUUGCUUUACCAAAUAUUUAUGUGUUUACAUUUAGACAUUCUUUCGCAGAAGCCAUCAUCUUAGGAGAUAGUAUGAAAAGUUCUUGCGUAGGUCUCUUUGCAUUUGUAGGUACUUGGAGUUUUUGUAUUGUUUAUCCUUAUGCAUUGGCAGAUAUGCUCUUAAUAAGGGAGCAACUGCUCUUGCUGUUGAUAUCGAAGAGGUUGAGCCUCAUGAUCUACGUGACGAAACUCAUGAAUCUUCUAUUAGGAUCUUGAAACACGCAGUGCAGAGGAGAGUUGAAGAUUUAGUACCACAAAAUUUGCAGAAUGGCAAGCUUUCUGGUAAAAUAUUUUUUUCAUAGGGUCUUUUAUGCAGUUCCUUCGAUGUACUUUAACAAGAUCAUACUUGAUAUAUUUUUUGAAAAAUCUUAAUAAAUAAUGAUGUUAUUGAGAGGUUGUGCUUAUUAUCACUGUUUCUUUUCUUCCGGUUGCAGGAAAUGUAUACAAUUUGUUUGCAUUCCCAUCAGAGUGCAAUUUCUCAGGUCAGAAGUUUCCUCUUGAUUUGGUUAAGGUCAUCAAAGAAGAUGGUGGGAAAAUUUUAGGAGUCCCAUCACACCAACGGUAUGAUAUAGUCAAUUAAAUAGACAUGAAAAUAGAACAGAAGGGAUGGGAUAAACUAAUUAGUGGCUUUUACAACCUUUAAGAAUAAUUUUUCAGUAUAUGCAUAGCACUAAAAUGCAAUGACUACUAUUUAUUGCACAUAGUAUCUAUUUGAUUGAAAUAUCCAACUAAUACCAAAGUUGGAUAUUAUCCUAAUCAAGGAUUUCAUGAUAAUAGAUAAAAUUACGGCAUUGACAAGUUCAAAAUGCUUAAACUCUUAGUUGUUCCCUUUACAAGCAGCUCUCUUUUUUCUUUUUUUUUUUUAAAUUUAAUAUGAUAUUUUAUGCAGGAAUUGCUGGAUGGUGCUAAUAGAUGCUGCAAAAGGAUGUUCAACUGAACCACCAGAUCUAGCUAGGUAUCCGGCCGAUUUUGUCGUCUUUUCUUUUUAUAAGGUAUAUGCUGUGUGCACUUUGACCAUUCCGGUAUUAUGCAAAACUUUUUAUUAGGGAUAUUAUUAACUGCAAACAUGCUGUCUUUGUCAGAUAUUCGGUUAUCCAACUGGUCUAGGAGCGCUUGUCGUUCGAAAUGGUUUGUGAUUUCUUAUCUUGACAUUGGUUUAUAUCAAAUGGUUGUUUUUACCACUUCUGUUUAGUUUGGCCUAUAAAGUACUUCUUUGCUCUAUAUCUUGAAUAUAAAGGUACUUUGUCACCUGUUAUUCAUCAUUGUCACCUUUUCAUUUUGAUCUUUUUUUAGCCGGACACACUAUGAUUCUAGUUUCCUUUAUUUAUUUCUUUCAAAUUCUUGUAUUUUCCUGUUUUCGAGUUUUAACGACCUUAUAUAUUCUUGUUAUGUUAAGCAGUGUGGCAUCUUUAUUCUAUUCAAGAGGGAAAUUAGCACUUCAUAUUAACCCAAUUUUCUUGUUUUGUGGGCAAAACGUUUGUUUGUUUGUUUUUUUUUAUUUUGAAGUUUUAGCAAAGGUUGUUUAGCUAUCUGCUUGCUAUAGAGUGGAAUGUAUUAUCUUGUUCUCUUUUUAAUAUAUUAUUGUUCUUUGACAGAGGCAGCCAGGUUGUUAACAAAAACAUACUUUGGUGGAGGUCAGUAGUGUACCAGCUUUGCUAUGUUUUUCUUAUUCAUCUCAAACUAUUUGGUUUAAUAUGUCUACAUAAUUUAGGCACAGUAUCUGCUUCAAUUGCUGAUAUUGACUUUGUCCGAAGAAGAGAGAGCAUUGAGCAAGUGCUUGAAGAUGGAACUCUGUCAUUCUUGGCCAUAGCUUCUAUUCGUCAUGGCUUCAAGAUAGUUGAUUCAUUGACUAAAUCUGCUAUUGUCAGGUGUGUUAACACUGUUGUAGUAUUGUGAAGUUAUAAACACUUCUUGGAAAUCUAGCAAGUACACUCUUCUCUUCUAAAAUGUUCUUGAUAUUUUGUAGAUAUUUUUCUACUUUUAACAUGAUAUAAUUAUUUGUAUACCCUUGAAAACCAUCUAUUAAGAUGUUCUUUUUUUGGGGCAAAAUCUGAAUUUUCACAUAUGCCUUUAAAAAAAUUGAUCUCUUACAUUUAUACCCAUGUUACCAUGUAUGUAUGAAGGUACUCCUUUUUGAAAACCUAUUUCUAAUUUAAAAACCAACUUCAUCCAUGCAUUGGAUGAUCCACUUAACAUAUGAAAGUUUCGUAAGAAACUGCAUUUUAAGAGUAUGAUCAAAAUUCAGGUUUCGUGAGGGUAAAGACACAUGAAUUUUGCUUAUCUUUUAACUGUUCUAUUUUGUGUGCCAAAUUACACCAUUCUGCUUCACUUGUGGGAAGUGGAUUUGGACGAGCUUUAAAUGAUCAUAUUUUACCCUUAUAGACAUACAAAGUCUCUUGCCGCUUACGCAAGGAACAUGAUGGUGGGCUUAAAGCAUGGUAAUGGAUCGAAUGUUUGCACAAUCUAUGGAAGAGAAACUUCAAAGGUUAGUAUUUUUAACAGAGCUGUUCACUUUGUGAAAUGAUCAUCACAGUGCAUCCAUGGACUUGCUUCGUUUUAUCUCAAGAUCUUAUAAGGAUAACUGAUAUGUUUCUUCACUUAUCUUAGGUAUUAUCUUCAACAUAUGGUCCCACAAUUUCAUUCAAUUUGAAAAGGGAAGAUGGCUCCUGGUUUGGAUACCGUGAAGUGGAAAAGUUGGCUUCAUUAUCAGGCAUUCAUUUGCGUGUAAGUAAAAACAAUCUAGUAUACACUUGGGUACAUCAAAAAAUCAGGUAAACUUUUUGUGCGACUAAUGUCUUUUUAUAAUGGUUUCAUUGUAGACAGGCUGCUUCUGCAACCCUGGUGCAUGUGGCAAAUAUCUUGGUUUGUCUCAUUCAGAUUUGAUUUCCAACUUUGAGGUAAAUCACAUUCUUAUUAUAUGUCAAACCCUCCUGAUAUGGCAAUUUACUAGUAGUUGUUGUAUAAGCGAGCCUAUUUUGGUAAUGAAAUGACAAAUUUAAUUUUGUUAUACUACAUGGUUCUCGUUUUCUUUAUGUCAGGCUGGGCAUGUUUGCUGGGAUGAUAAUGACAUAUUAAACGGAAAACCAACUGGUGCUGUUAGGAUAUCUUUUGGUUAUAUGUCAACAUAUGAAGACGCUGAGGUAUUUACUACAUUAUUUCUUGUUGCAUAACUCAUAUAUGCUGUUUCUCUCUAAUUUUCGGUUAAAUCUUCUGUAAAAUAAUCCUAGGAGCAACAUGACCAAAAUUCUUGUAUAUUACAAUUGUUGCAUUAAGUUAUAUAGAAAAGUGAAUAUAUGUGUAUAUAGCUACUUUGUUUAUACGUAAUACUAAUGUAUGUAGUUUUUUAGAACUUCUUUCAAUUUAAUUCUUCUUUUAAAUAUGGUUUGAUGUAACAUCUGUUACCAUUUCCUCUUGCAGAAAUUUUUGAAUUUUUUGGAAACUUCUUUUGUAUCCAAGCCCAAAGACGGAUAUCAAUCAAGUUUGAAGGCACUUCAUUCAUUAAGUAAUUAUAUUGCCUUUCAGUUUGCUCUUACAUUGUUUUUUCAGUUUUUCCUGAAGAUAUCAUUUGCUGCUUAGUAUUAAGGAUAUAAGGAACAAGACUUCGUAUUUUACAGAGAUCAUCUCUUGCUAUUUAUGGACUUCUAUCUCAACAAGCAACAAAUUGGUGUUCGAGUAUUUUCAUUUACACAUAAAAUUAAUUUUGUCUAUCUAUGAUUAUGAAUAACAGGUAUUGCAAAUCAGCAGGAAGUAAGACCCGUUCAACUAAAAUCCAUCACAGUUUACCCUGUGAAGUCUUUACAAGGAUUCAGUGUGCAUAGCUGGCCUCUCAGUAAUAUUGGUAUGCGAUUCUCUUCUUGGAGUGAUACUGUAAAGAUGAUUAUUUCUAUUUACUUGCGUAUAAUCAUUGGCAGAAAGAGAAAACCCCUAUAAAAAUAUUAGGACUUGAUUGCCCUCUGAAAAUAGAAAUCUUCAUUCAAGCCCCUAAAUAAUUGGGCCAAUUUUCUCUUUCCACACUAUUGGAGAUUACUUACCCACUUGGGAGUAGACCAAGACGUCAUCUUGAGUUUAUAUAUAUAUAUAUAUAUAUAGAGAGAGAGAGAGAGAGAGAGAGAGAGAGAGAGAGAUAUAUAUAUAUAUAUAUAGAGAGAGAGAGAGAGAGAGAGAGUUGAGCUGGAAUAAUUGAAGAUAGUUUUCAUUGAUUCUGUCUAUUGCUGAACAGGUUUAAAAUAUGAUCGAGAAUGGCUUCUUCGAGGUCUGAGUGGUGAAAUUUUGACUCAGAAAAAGGUAUGUAUAAGCAGAUAUGUGGAGUGCUAUCUGUGAUUAUUUCGUGUCCAUAUAUAAUUGUACAGCUUAUCUACAUAGCUUUAUUCAAUAUUUGGUAUAUGAACAUGUAUUUCAGAUAAAGUUUAAUUUUUAAUUCUCAGGUUCCAGAAAUGUGCUCCAUUCGUACAUUUAUCGACUUGGAACUUCAGGCAAUGUACAUAGAAUCUCCACAUUGCAAAGAGAAACUACUAAUUUCUCUACCAAAACAUUCGCGAAGCUUAAAUGAAGAAAUGGAUGUCUAUGGUCAAAGGUGCGCAUUCUCACGUUUAGUGUCUUGUUUGCAAAGCGCGUAGUGUUGUGUGUACCUAAGAAUGCAUCAUGUACUCCAAAAUAAUGUUGAAGAGUUAGCUUUCUUCUAUCAUGUUUCAUCUUGGAUAUUUUAAAAGCUAAAUCGAUUAUUAGUUGCCGUGCAUAUAAAGUUGAUUACUCAUUGGGGUCCAUUUCUGAGGUAUAAACAACAUUGCUCAUCUUAAAGCUGCCAAAGGAGGACAAAUAGAAGUUGAAGUUUCGAUUGUUUAUAUGAUAACUCAUUCUAAUAAUAGGCUUGAUGCUUGUUUUCAUUGAACUAGAUAUGAGGUGCAGACUUAUGAUGAUGAGGUUAAUAUGUGGUUCACUAAAGCCCUUGGUCGUCCUUGUACCUUUGUGAGAUGUUCAAAUUCCAAGAACCGCUCUUUCAUGAACAAGAUUGGAAGAGAAGGUCUAUGCAGAUAUACAUCGAGCAAACUGAAUUUCUCUAAUGAGGGACAGUUAUUACUAAUAUCUGAAGAGAGCCUUUUUGAUCUGAACAGCCGCUUAAAUGCAAGUAUGUUGCUUUCUUUUUAUUAUAUCAUUUCUGCUAAGAUGUAUAAGAAGUCCUUGCAUUAUUCUUUUUUUUUUUUUUUUUUGAGAGAUAGGUAGCACGCUACCCGCUUCGUUUAUUUUAUUUAGAAAUAAAUUUAGCUGGAAAUGUGAAUCAACUAGGAUUCGAACUUGGGACCUCGGAUACCAACCACCAAGCCCUUUGCUACUUGCUAUAGGGACGGUCGGUAGUCCUUGCAUUAUUUUGAUAUGAAACUUGAUCUGCUGUACCUUGUACUUAAACAUUUCAGUCCAUAAACUUUUGUUAUCCAUCCCCGAUCUCCCCAGCUCCACCCUGAAAAAAAAAACUCCUGUAAAAUGACCAGUUUACAGUUCUAUGAAAUGACUUCCAUAUCAGUUUACUUGAAAUAGGGUUAGAAAGGUCAUGCUACUGCGAAGGUCUACUGGUCUGCGAAGGUCUACUGGUCUGUUUUGGAGUGACAAUAUUUCUUUAAGUGAAAAGUUCAGAGACCAAGUCGCAAAAUCAGCACGAUGUAAGGACUGUCUAAGUAUUUUACUGUAACAAUUCUAGUUUCAACUUGAAAGUUAUGAGUUUUACUGUUCAUUUUAAGACCUUGGCAUUGCUUUCUGCGUGUUGGCGUGCAAUUUACAGGAUAUGAUUAAUUUGGCAAUCUGUUCACUAAUUGCUAUUCCAUUUUCUUUGUUGAGUUAAUUUAUUCAUGGGAAAAUUAAAGGACAUAUAUAUUUUCUUCGUAGCAGAUUUUGGAAAAGAUAUCUCUGGGUCUAGGCAGCCAGUACACGUUGAUGCUGCGAGAUUUCGCCCAAAUCUCGUAAUUUCAUGUUCAGAACCUUAUGUUGAGGAUAGCUGGAGCAGCCUUCAAAUCGGAAAAGCACAUUUUAGUGUGAGUUCAUUGAAUAUUCUGUUGAACUUACUUUUCUGAUUUCUUUCUUUGCUUUAAUCGAAUUUACUUGGUGAGGGAUGUGAGCUUGCACUUUUCCUUUUGUUUUCUUUCUUUUCAUUUUUCUAACACAUGAAUCAUUUGAUAUAUUCGCAGUCACUGGGAGGAUGUAACCGCUGUGAGAUGAUUAAUAUCGAUCAGCAAUUUGGGCGAGUUCGGAAAACGAAGGAGCCUCUAGCAACUUUAGCAUCCUAUAGACGAAAACAGGCACUAAAACUUUGUCACAAAAUCAGCAUAACAUCGUGUCAAAUUUUUUUUUCCCCCUUUCUUUUGGCUUCUCAAUUGAAAUUGAUUUGUUUUCAUGGAAACAGGGAAAGAUUCUAUUCGGUAUCUUGUUAAGAUAUGAAGAUAGUGUCAAGGAAGGAGAAGAUGAAAUUGUUGAAGAAAAGUGGCUUCAAGUUGGACAAGGCGUUUAUCCGUCUGUUGAUUAAACUGAAAUCGGCUUCAGAGAUCUAAUGCUAAAGUAAGUACAUUUCUUGGAAAGAUAUAGUACUAAGUGAUUAUACAGUUAGCAAAUAAUCAAAGGAGAAAAGGAAUAAAAAAGCAGCUCUGUAUAUGUAUGAGAAGCGGCUCUGUAUAUGUAUGAGAACAAAAAAAAAGAAGUAAUAAAAAGAAGAGAAAAAGCAUGGGGAAUGCUCCCAUUAUGAAAUUGUAUCGUAAUCACGUGUCUUCAUUUUCCUUUUUUUAAGAAAUAUAUAAGUUAUUGCUGAGGAUUCUCUACAUUAAUUCGUGCUGUGCUAUUUAUUACUGCACGAGUUGUGUGUCAAAUUCAAUAGAAAACAGCUGUUCCUUCAUAGUUGGUAGGCAUCGGAGGCAGAGGAAUAUUGUGUAUUAUUCCUGCUAUGAUUAGAAAACAAAAUCACGCAUCAAGGCCUAGUGUUUAUGAGAGACAAAUUAUAAGAAUAGAUGGAGCCCUUCACACGCACAUUAAUUUUUAUGUACUCUUAGAACUAGUGCUUCCUUUAACAAUCUUUCAGAAUGUAGUUGCACUGCUAUUUGGUUCCCUAAACCAAAAGAUGGCUGAGUCGUAAUCCAACCAUAAAUCAAGUUUAUCAAGAGUAACAACUAAUUGUGUUAUCCGCUAUGAAGACGCCGAGAAAAUUUGGUAUGCUAUCAUGUAACUUAAACUCUCGAAAACAAAUUUUCUUUAAAAUGGUUUGAAACUCAUCUUUCAAAAAAUUUAGCCUAUUUCUACUCUUACCAAAUUUGAUUUUCAACCAAGCUACAUUUACCUGAAUCAAAUGCCCUCUUAAAGAGAGAGCAAGAAAGGAGAGCAGCUCUCCAUGCUUCUCUACCAAAAACAAAAAGAGAGGAAAAAAGAUGUAGAGACGUAAAACCUUUUAUGAUGAAAUAGUUCAGAACUGAAAGUUCCUCUGCUUGAUGGAAGAGGAAGCAGUCACAAGUCACAAGUCACAAGUCACAACAACAGUGAGCCGAAGCUUCGACAGAAUGGCUACAGGUUACAAGGUAAAUUCGAAGGGAAUUUAAUGGAUUUAUCACUUUAUGUAUAGAAUUCAUGGCAGGUAAUUUCCUCAGCAGAUCAAAUUCUCUUGAUCUGUUACUGCGAAGCUGGUGAACCGCACUCUUCGUUUACUUCCUCGAGCUCAAUUAGUCUUCCUCCCAGUUGCUUCCUGCAAACAAUAAUAUUUAGUAAGCAAACAAGAGAUUACAUACACUCUCCGCCUACUAUCCAUUUGCGUUCUCGAUACAUCUCCUUCCGAAACUCUUAAAUUUGUAGAAAGAUAGUCUCGGGAUGUAUAUAUAUGAAAAUUCAGACUUUACUGGGGUGUACAUUUAGAUAGAUGAUUUCGCAGGAAAAAUUAGACUAUUAAAGAUAAGUUUGACAACUAUUUGUUUCAAAUAAUGUGAGAAACUGAAAAUAAGAUUAGAGACAGUAAAUAUAGACCUUUGAGGGAAUAAUUUCUCAUCUGACAAAGCCUUCUCUAGCCUUUCUUCAAAAGGGGUAGCAUGCCAACUAACCUUCUGAUCCUGAACAAAAAAAAGGAAAAGAUAGAAAGAAGGAAAUGAAUGGAAUAUAAGAAUGGUCACUCCAGCACAAUAAAUCAAGAGGAGCGGAACACGUAAUUCUAUACCUCCUUGUAUUUGGUCGUCGAAUUUGGAAUUCCAUUUCGAUCCCAACAUUUGGGCGAUUCACGAGUACACCCAUCGUCCCUCCAGUUUUCAUCGAAAAUCCCAAUAAUAGGUCUAUCCACAUCAUAGCUCUCUUUAAUGUCCAUAAUAUCCUCUUUCUCAUCCUUCAGAGUCGUCGGCUUCAGCCAUUGAGAAAAGCUCGGAACAAGAAGGUUUGGAGCGUCUAUAACUUCAUCUUUGCUGUGCGAAAUUUGCUGUGCACGAUUAUUACUAUUGGCAUAGAGAGGCUCCUCAUUAUUAUUGGCAUUCUCCUUGCCUAGGUUUUCCUUGUUAUUUGGAGUUGCAAACACUGACCUUCUUGUCUUAGAAACCUCUGAAUCUUUAGACACAGGAGAGAUUGCAUUUGGUACUAGCUUCUUUGUACAAGAUGAGUUUUCGCUUAGUGAUUUCCGGUGUGGUAAAUUGUCUAUAGGUUUCAGGACAGGAUAAGCAUACUGAGUGCGGAUCCUAGCACGCUUCCCGGUCCUAGUGUUUUCGAUGCGGGACGGGUGAAUUGUUGCGGGAGUUUGCAUUUCAUCGGUCAAAAUCAGAGGAGUUGGAUAAGGAGAAUCACUAGCAUAGGGUUGCUGAAUUUUGAUGUCAUUCGGAGAGGGGGAUUUGUCAAAAUUAUCACUUUUAAACCGUAAUUCAAUUUCAUUCAUACCAGCCCUUGGAAUCUGGUUUUUAUCAGACACGGAUCUGCAUUAAACGAAACAAAAAAAAAAAUAAAAUAAAAUUUAUGGUUCCACUAAAACAAAGUUCUUUUUUACAAAAAAAGAGGGGAUGAGAAAUUUUACCCUUCCAAUAACAUUUCUGGAGAACUCGAGUUUUCUUCUAGCUGUGGUGGAACAUCAGACACUUCAUUACACUGUACAUCCAGCUGAAGUUCCUUAUAAGAUGAUUUUUGAUGGAAUGAGAAGGAUUCCGGAGACGAGUCAUCCUCAUUAGAAUUUCUAACGACUGUUUUGCUCAAAGUUUUCCGUAUUUCCGCAGGAGUUUCCGAUAUUGCACCACAAGAUUUGAGGUACUUGGCCUGGUUAACAUAGAUCAACUAUUUGUUAACAAGUGUAAAUUGACAUGCAUAGAUAAGAAAUCCAUAAUCCAUCAUAUGUUUUCAUCCACAAAAUUGACAAGCAUACACAAAUUUAGUUCAUAAAAUAAGCUCUAUACAUCACAAUAUCGAUAAUCAUGCUUAAAGGGAAACAAGAAGACGAAGAACAUCUCCUCUAACAUUUUAAAAGCUGCAACAUGCUCGAAAUCCAUGCAUGCAAGGCCACAACUAUUUUGAAUGAGCUAAAUUUUGAAGCAAGUAAUUUUCAAGGUGCCGAGAAAUAAGAAAUCAUAUGUAAAAGAGAAUGUUAACAUGAAUCAUUUCAGGAUAUGCAUGUCAAAUGCUAAUAAAAAACAUAGCUUGAUACUGAAUUUGAAAGAGUAUGCGGGCCAAAAGAAGAGGAGAUUCCAACAUCCACUAAAAACUAACAAUCGAACACUACUAUUUAUUGCACAAACCUCACGUUUGAGAUCCCCAUUGAUGUUGUCAUCAUCAAAAACCUCCUGAAAACUUUGAUUCGGGUUAAACCCGCAUGGAGAACCACAUUCUUCGAUGUCUAAGAAGCAAAAGAGCAAAAUUUAAUUCAGAUUCGCCAAAAUAAUGAGAUGAUUAUAUUUCUGAACAAAUAUUAACUCAGAAGUUUCAAAGACCAUACCUUUAUCCUCACUCAGAAACACCGAUCCGAGAUUGUUCUUCGACAAGAGAUUAUCCUGUAAUAAUCAGAAUGGUUUGGCACGAAUUAAGCAACGAAAUGGGGAUUAAAUUACCAAAAAAAUAAUCCAAACAAAGAGAUUUAUCAUCUUACCCCACCGUUCGAAGAGAUCGAAAUCUGACGCGGAGGGGUCUUCCUCCGCUCGUCGUCCUUGAUUCUAAAGCACGCGAAGAAGCACCCCAUGAGCACGGACUCGAGGAACCCUAGAGCCGCCUUGAUCGCCCGACACUUCGAUCGCUUCAUGAAUCACAACAACAGCGAGAGGGAAUGAAGGUCGAGAUCGAGGGAUAGGGGAGGCGAAUUAGGGUUAUCGAAAUCGGAAUCGAUUGAGGCCGAGAUCGAGAUCGAGGGGGGAGAGAGAGAGAGAGAGAGAGAGAGAGAGAGAGGUCGCGAGGGAGUGUCAAAAAUUGGGAAUUUUUCUUUUUCGAAAUUUAAAUUGGUAGGAAGAGGGAAACAAGAAAAACAGAAAACCGAACCGGACCGAUGAACCGGGCCUAUUACAUUGCCAAAAACCGGGUUUAACUAUUAUUGAACCGGACCGUUGAACUAUUUUGAAUCAACUGUCUAAUAUUUUUAAAAAUUUAAUUUUUUAAUUUAUUUAUUUUAAAUCAGUCGACAAUAUUUUAAUUGAUUUUAAAAUUCGAAUAGAUUGAUACAAGUUCAUAACUGUAAAUUUAUGAAAAUAAGUAAUUAACUUAAAUAUUAAAAUUAAAAUAUUAUUAAUUGAUUCAAAUUAAAUAAAUUAAAAAUUAAAUAGUAAUUAGCUGAGUAAAAAUUGUUUAUAGUAAUGAAAAAAUUUGGUACGUUUUUAUCUAAUUAAUGACAAAUGCUACUGCAUUUAAUUGGUAGAUAGGUAAAAAUCAUGCAUUUACAAAAUUAUUUAAGGUGAAAACUGGGUACUAAAUUCGAUUUAAAAUUGGAAAUAAGGUACAAGAGCUCCAUGCUCAAAAAUAAAAAAAAAUUUUAAAACAUUAUUUUUUAAUUAUCUGAAAAUUCGGACAAGGAAUGUAAAUGAAACGGAUUUAGGCGCAGAAUAGAUUUACCCACCACCCAUCUAGUUUUCUUGACGGAUAGAAAUUGACUUGCGACGAAUUUAUUUUUAUUUUUAUUUUAUUUGGAGAAGAUUAAAAUGGAAAUUAAUUUUUAAAUAAAAAAUCGAAAUAGUUCGAAAUAAAAAAAAUUAUUUUUUCUUCUCUUAUUUUAUUUUGUUAGUGGCUAAGAUCGGAUUCAAUACGAGGGGAGCUCCAUCAACCCGGAUCCAAAAUGCAUUCCUAGUUGAGAUUAUAUUAUUACUAGUAAAGUCACCCGCGCGUAGAGAUGUCAACGGGUCGGAUUCGGGGCGGGUUUUUAAAAACCCGAACCCGAACCCGACUCCAAACCCGAGACCCGAACCCGAACCCGAACCCGAACCCGACGGAUUUUAAAAAUCCAUAUCCAAACCCGAACCCGACCAAAAAUCCGAAAUCCGAACCCGAACCCGAACCCGAAAAUUUGAACCCGAAACAAUUAUUUCUUUUUUCAAUAUUUCAAAAUAUAUUAUAUUAAAUUUAAAUUUUUAAAAUACAAAUUUAAAUAUAACAUCAAAUUUAUAUAUAUAUAUUAUAUAUAAUACAAAAUAAAUUCGGGUUCGGGUCGGGUUCGGGUUCGGGUCGGAUACAAUCAAAAUCCAUAUCCGAAUCCAUAUCCGUCGGGUUUCUAUUUUUGAUAUCCAUAUCCGAAUCCAUAUCCAUAUCCAUCAGAUAUAUCCGUUUCAUUCGGGUUCGGGUUCGGAUAAAAUUUCGGGUAUCCAUACCCAUUGACAUCCCUACCGCCAGCGGAGAAGCAUCAGCUGCUUAUAUGGAGUAGAUGCAGUAAUCUUUAAUGGCAAAUGUACUAGAAUANGAUUAAUUACUAGUUAAGUCUGUGAUGGGUCGAUCCUAAAUGCAUAAUAAAAAAAAUAAGAUAAGAACUAACAGUAUAUUUAUAAUAGUGUUCAAAUUUAAAACUAACAAAAUAUUUGAAAUUUGCAAUCAUUACAUAUUUUACAAAUUCAAAAAAUCUAAAAACCAAUGAUAUAUUUAUAUGGGAGAACUAUAAAAAAUCUCAUAUGAAAGAGAACUAAGCAGUGACUAACAAAUAUAUAAAAAAUUAUACCAUAUUUGUAACUAUAAGUUUGCAAAUCAGAUAAAAAAAAAAGAGUGCAAAAAAUGAAAAAAAAGAUGCAUGUAAGAUAUACCGAUAUAUUAGUUAGUAACAUUCGAAAAUAUAGAGAAGAAAUAUCAAUAAUAUUAACAAGUUAAUAGAAACAGAAAUUCAUUCACUACAAAAGGUGGAGUAAUUUAAUACAACUAAGUACUACUUUAACUAUAAUAUUUGGUCAAGAUGAUAAUUAAAAUGUGAUUUGUACUUCUCAGAUAUUCUUGAAAUAGCAAAACAAAACAAUCGUUGCAACAUUUCCUGCCGUGUUAAUCUUCACUUUUCUUCGUAACUUGAUUCGAAACUUUCCAUGUAACUACAAAACAAAGUACAGUAUAAGUUAUUAUUCUUAUUGAUUUUUCAAUGCAAUGUGAACUUCUAAUUGAUUCAUUCUUAUCUGCGUGCUCUUUUUCGACUAUUUGAUUGUUCUUCAGAUAUCUCUGGACUAGCUUGCAAGUUGUUGAUGAAAACAAUAUAGGAAAUUUUUAUUUAUGGUAACAUUCCUGAAUGCAAUAACUCAGCAAUGUAAGAUAGCUUGCAUGAGUAUUUUGUGCUGUGCCAUUGCCCAUGAUCACGUCCAAGUGCUUGGUGUUCGGCUACACGCGCCGCACGAUCCCCUCCCAGUUGUCCCCCGAGCACUCCGCGGCGAUCCGCUGGGCUAGUUCGGGCUCUGGCUUGGUCAGGAGCUCUCCGACGGCCUCGCAGACGGAGGGGUCGGUGACGAUGGCGGGGUUCAGGGUUCCGGUGGAUAAGCCGUGACAGAUUUGGGGCCGGUGGAGGCAGAGGAAGUGGAGGGCGCGGAGAACUGAAGGCGAAGAUGGCGUCGAUGUGGAGGACGUCGGCGGAGAGGAGGAGGCCGCAGAGCAUUUGCGCGUACAUGCUCUAGAAGGGGUCGGGGCAAAGGAUGGCGGUGGUGGGGUUGGUGUAGACGUUGUAGGGGUCGCAGGGGCGCGCGUCGGCACGAGAUCUGGAAGGGAGGAGAGAGAAGGUGGAAGGAGGACUGCGGAGAGAAGACGUAGGUGAGAUGAAGAGAGAGAAUGAGAGGACAUUGGGUUGGGGGGUGGGGAAGUGGGGAGCGGGAGAUGAGGGGAUGCCGGGUUGGGGAGGAGGGGGAGCGGGAAUCGAAGGGACGUCGGGUCGGGGAGAAGGGGGAGCGGGAGUUGAAGGGACGUCUGGUGAAGGAUCAAAAGAGAGAAGAAAAGAUUAAGAGUAAAUAAAAAAAAUAAAAAUAAAAAUAAAUUUUAAAAAAUUGUGGUUUUGUCACGUCAGCUUUAAAUCGUGGGGAUUAAUAUAGAGUUUAUAGAUUUAUAGAUUAUUGUUAUUAAUUAUUAUUAUUAUUAUUAUUUUGGUUCGGUUUGGUGAGAGGUGGUGAGUACACUUUGAACUCUUCUUCUUCUUCUUCUUCGUCUUCGUACCACUCUCGUCUCAAACCCUCGUCUCGGAUCUCGGAGACCUAAAAAUGUCGGCGUGGGGCGACGCGGCGUUGGCGGGGAAGAAGCCCCCGAAGCGGGUCGGGGGAAUGGAAGAAGCCCUCUCCAUCGCCUCCGAUCUCGGCUUCUCCACCCCUCCCUUCCAGGUCCCCCAUUCCUCCCCACAAUUCCUUUUUUCCCCCUAUUUUUCUCCUCUCUCUCUCUCUCUCUCUCUCCUGCUACCUUUCGAUGGUAAUUUGGCCUUAUAAAUGUUCGGAUUUUUUCACUUGUUCUAUCAUCUAUGUGGAGAGGCGAGUUUGAAUCUCCUACUGUGCUCUUUCUAUGUUGAAUUGUGAAUUCCCGUACCAAUUUGACGUUUAUUUUUACUAGCUUUUGGUGCUCCUCCUUGUUAAAUGCGGCUCCUUUUUGAUGCUAAAUAUCGCACUUGUUCUCUGUGGCGAGAGGCGAAUUUGAAUCUUCUGUUGUGGCCUUUCUGGGUUAAAUUGUGAUUUGUUGUACUAAUUUAGGCAUUUAUUUCCCCUUCAUUUUUUUAGUAGAUUUUAGCUCUUUUCUUCGGUAAAUGCAGCUCUUUUGGAUGAUAAUUUGGUCUUAAUUUUGCGAUCGCACUUGUUCUAUGUGUGGAGGCAAAUGUGUAUCUCCUAUUGUGGUCUUUCUAGGUAAAAUCAUUAAUUCCUAUGCUCAUUGAGGUGUACAAUCUGUUUUACCUUAUCCUCUUUGUUAAAUGCGGUUCCUUUUGAUGUUAAUUUGGUCUUAAUAUUUGGGCCGGCACUUCUUCUAUUUGGAGAGCAAAUGUGAACACUCUAUUGUGCCUUUUCUUGGUUAGAUCGCGUAUUCCUGUGCUUAUUGAGGUAUCGUAUUAAUUUGAAUUCAUUAAUCUGAUACUUAGCAUUGCGGUUCCUUGUAGGAAGAUCAAACCAACUCCUUUACUGCUGAGAAAGGCGACGACUUGAUAGAGAUCUUGAGAGAAUUGACUUCUGUACAACGAAACAUUGCUAAUUUGCAAGUUGAACUUCAAGGGCGAAAGGUGCGUAUGUAGUCUCGCUUUUGAAAUGAAUUUUCUGUUUACUUCUUGUAUGAUCUAUUCGCUUUGAAAGAAACAGGCUUUCGUUUAAGAAGUCAUGUGAACAUAUUUAUACCGAUUUACUUUUUUCUCUGGUAUUGUAAUUUCAUUAGUGUUUAGACCUCUAUUCGAUCACCUGGACAUGAUAAUGGAUCAGAGAUUAAGAUUUAAAGCUUAAUUUUUUUUUAACUAUCAUGGCGAACCUUUGAUUGCACUGUUAAGGGUGAAGCAUUGUAUUCUCAGCUAAUUCCAUUGAAUAAUUCUUGUUUAGUAUGAGCUGGAUUAUUUUUUUUGUUAAUAUUGUGGAUGCAGCUUUAUUUUAUUCUUUUGCAAACCGGCUUUAUGAUAAAGUGAUUUGUUAUGCGUUUGUCAAUAAGCAGGACUAGUUUGCAUGAAUAGCAUCACUUUAACCUGUUGCUUUCCUGAUGCUCUAUGCAAGCUACGAGGAACGCAAGAAAGGUCAUAUGAUGCGAGUUACCUCCAGUUUGCUGAUUGUAAUAAAUGAAUCAAUGAAACCAGCUUUUUUUUUAAAAAAAGUUUCUUUUGUUUCCUUUUCUUCCUUUUUUUAUUUGUUGUUAUGCCUAUGCUAUGAAAGUUGGCUUCUCUUAACUUCAGGUUUGAUGUUAUUUAUGUUUUAGUCGUACUGCCAAUGAGUAUUAAAAUAUUUCUUCAUCCUCUCCUCUAAUACAAUAACUUAUCCUCAACUAAAUUUUGAAGUCAUGAAUCAUUGCUACUUCCCUAUCCUUUUUCAGCCAUUUGAAUCUUACUACGUAUUACUUUUCAGUUUUCAGUUGUCAUUUGAUCACCAUUUCAAUUUUAACCGUAGAUUACUUUUGUCAUCCCAAUUUUCCUAAUAUAUUUUCUUGUGAAUUACUCAGGAUGAUAAGACCAUUGCACAUCUGACACAUGUGAGUGAAAUGGAAAAGAAAUGCGAGUCCUUGGCCAGAAUUACUGCUAUUCUGAAAGAUGUAAUUCAAAACAAGGUAAACAGGGCUUAGAAGAAAUUUCUUUUUGUUUCAGCACAAGGUAUAUGUUCUAUAAUGCGGUCCAUUCUUGUAACAAAAUUUCAUUCGACUUUACAACUCCAUUUAUCACGGGUAUAAGAAUUUUUAAAUAUACUUGCUUUGCUGUGUUCAUCUAUGCAUUAAAACUUGCAAUUUUGGCAGGAUCGCAUCAUUGCUCGACUUCAGCAACCGUACUCUCUUGAUUGCAUUCCGGUGGAAGCUGAAUAUCAGGUAGGAGGUCUAAAGCUGCACACAUGAUAUAAAGAACACUACAAAGCUAAACACUUCAAGUAGUAUAAUACUACAAAUUUUAUAUCCUAAGGUUCGGAUUGGCAGGAGCUUUUAAUUCUGCUGUUAUGAGUAGCCGUUCAUGAAAAUGUUAAAGAAUUUUCAAUUAGUUUUGCCCAACUGCUUCCUGCUGCAGCAGAAUUAGAAGCUUUUGAUAACAGUUUUUUAGGGCUCUGUUUAGCUUCUCGCUAUGGAAAGUGCUGUUUACUUUUGCGUUUUGGAAUGAAAUAUCUGUUCCAAAAGCCAGGACAAACAAGCACCAAGUCUCAGGAAAUGUAUUACUUCUCAGUGCUUGCCAAAUCUCCAUUUCUACAUGGUUACUUUUUGAGAUAUUUUUCCUUUUUUAGUUUUCUAAUCUUCCUUUUGAUUUUCGUACUUGCGAUUCAGAAACAAUUCUCGGAGUUGUUGAUGAAGGCUGCUAGUGACUAUGGGGCUUUGACAGCAUCUAUUGCUGACUUUCACUGGAGCCAGAAUUUUAGAGAGGCCCCUUCAGUUUGGGGGGUAAGUUCUGAGUACUUGUAUAAUGAAAUAUUUCUACUAAUACCUUACGAUUUUUUUUUUUUUUUUUUUUGACUUUAGCUAGAAUUUCAAAACUUCUGAACCAAAAAAAAAGAGAAAAAACUAAAGAUUAUGCAUAUAACCUGUAGGAAAUGCUUCGUCCAAUACCUGCCGCUCUCGCGUCGUGUACCCGCUUCUUCGAGGCAAUGUCUGCUACGAGAGACUCUUUUGCGACCCUCCAACAGCUUCGCGUAGGCAGUUCUUCUAUUCAGCAUUCCGAAUUCUCAACCCCUCCUCAAUGGAGAGACGGUGCUGCAGGCGAUCGAAUACUUUGAUGGCUAGGAGGCAGGAGAAAGAGCGAAAGAUGCUAUGGAGGAGAGUAAAAGUAGUUUGGUGAAAUAAAUCACUUAAGAAAGGGGUUUGUGGAUUGCAAAAGCAUCUAUUGUGGCUUCUCUUGUAAAGUUAUGGAAUUCUUUUGUAUCAUAAACCACAAAAAGGAAGCAGGAUUUAAUUUAGUUUUCUUCUGCUUCGUCUUCGGCAAAUUUGUGAAAGUAUUUUGGUUUAUUAAUGUUGUAUGUUGCUUAUCCUAUUCUUGGUUCUAACCAGUUCCUAUGUGUGACAUUUGUGUACAUCAGUGUAAAUAUAGAUAUGUAGAUUGUUACCAAGGACAAAAAAAAAUUUGUAUAUUUUGCGCGCCAACUGGUGGGAAAAUCAACAUAAGCUUAAGAUCUUUCUGAUAUUUGAAUUUGAAAUUAGUUGGCCAGUAUUGUUUCUGAUACUUGAGCUUCAAAAUAUUUGCUCAAUUUUGAAGUAAUCUUUGUUUCAGUAGUGUAUGAUGCUACUGAUGAUGUUCCUACUGUUUUUAAAUUUUCUUUUCCAUCUUUGUUUUGGUUGCUGAAUUACGAUUUAUAAAUGGACCAAAUUGCAUUACUCUGCAAGCAAAAGUAAAGCUCAUAUAAUUUUUUCUGUUUUUUAUUUUUCAAAAACUACUUAUUUACAAUAUUUAAACGUCCUAAAUCUUAUAUUCUUCAAUCAUGUAUUUAUUAGAGUAGGAAAAUAUUUCUACAAUCGUUAGGCGAUUCAAUUUUUUUUUAAAAAAAUAUCUAUUGAUCAUCAAAACUCAAUUCUAAAUCAGGAAACAUACACAGUGAAGAUGCUUUUAAACAUGUCACACCAACGUACGACGUUUAGUGCAAGCUUUGACUAGUCAAAGAGUCAAAGUCAAAGCUACAAUAGUUUUCGUACAGUACCAUAGAUGGAAAAUUCACCAGCCUCCAAUCAAACUGGGACACGUGUCACGCCGAAUACUGUGACCACAAUUUGCUUUGAUUGUGGCCCUGUUGUUCCAUUUAUUUAUUUAUUUGUUUAUUUUCAUUCCACAAUUACUCCCCUCGCUCUUUAUUAUCCUAUAUGAAAAUGUGUGGCUCUUAUCUAAACUAUGUAUUACUGACUACUUUAAAAAAAUUUAAUUUGCUUCAUAACCUAUUAAUUUAAUUAAUUUUAACUAUUUAAUAAUUUUUUAACUUUAAAAUUUAGAUGUGUUAUCUGUUUUUACAGACUUAAUUAAUAUAUUUUAUAUAAAUUUUGUGACUAUAAAUUUAUUAAAAUAAGAAAGGAGCCUAAAUUCUAUAUCGAAAAAUUAUCAAAUUACAUACAUCAUUAUACAUUGAUGAAUAACUCUACUAAAAUAACACUUCUUUCUUUAGUAGCUUCAAUUUUGGAUGGAAAUUAAACACCAUUCUCAUUUCCUCUUCUUGCUUGCUUAAAGCUUCUACCUACAUAUAUUAGGAUUCCCAAUACUCCUAAUUAAGCAACUCCCUUUUGGAUUCAUUUAUUUUUUCCUUUCUAGUUGAAACUUAGAUACUACCUACCCAGGGAGUGGACAAUAUUUAGUUCUAACUAAGAAUGAAAAGCAAGUUUGAAUCAACUUUGUUUCUUUUUAAUUUCUUUGUUGUGUUAAUUCCUUAUGCUCACUCACAAUAAAAAUAAGCUUGUAUUAAAGAAGUCAAGGUGUACAAUUUAUUCAAGCAAGGACAAGUCCUUCGGAGAAAAUAAUUGAUCGACAAUGCUAAUUAAAGGAUCAUCUUGUUAAUAAAAAAAAGACUCGAAUAUUUGAAAUUAUUCUCAAACUAAAAGCCUCAAAUCCUCUGUAAGGGACCGUUUGAUUAGAUGUAAUUAUAAAUACAGUAUAUAUUGUUAGAGAUGCAUGCAGUUGAAAAUGCAGUAGUUACAAUUAUAUACAUUUUGUUUCGUUGGAUGUAGUAAAAAAGCGUUGCAACUAUUUAUAAAUAAUUUAUUUGGUUGCGUGCAGUUUAGAAAUAAUUUUUAGAAUUUUAUUAUUUUAUAUGUAUGUGAUGGUAAGAUUACCUUUAAUAUAAAAAAAUAUAUAUUUUUUGUUUAAAACAUAUUUAAAGAGGUAAGAUUAUCUUUUAUUUUUUCAAGUGCUGCAGUUGGAUUUUCUCCUACAGUUUUUACUACAACAGUUAAAAUUAAAUAUAUCAAACUAAAUACCGAAUUUGUAUUUACAUAUAGUUAUAACUGUCGUGCAGUGACAACUACAUACAACCAAACGACCCAUAAAUUGCAAUGAGAGGUACAUGUACUCGGACACAAGCGAUUGAUGAAUCAAUUUUCCUAAAGGUAAAAGGAUCGAUUACCCAUAAUUGGUACAUUCAUAAGUUUUAUGUGGUGAUUGUAUGAAUCAAGAAACAAUUGAUCAUUCUCUUAUUAAUUAAUACCAUGUGUACGUGAACAAACAAAUUAAUCAACAUUUUAAGGUACGUGUAGCACACGGUACACUUUAAUUCCUAAUGUACCAUCAAACAUCGGCUAUUAAUUGAUGACAAUGGAGAGAGAUUUGACCAUUCGAACCGAUCCAUCAAGAGAACACUUUACGUCUUUUACAUGAAUUACUACUGUAUAGGCAAAUUUAUACAGCACUUAAUUUGGACUGUGUAUACAAGAUCAAGUCACAAAAAGGCUCCAUGUAAUGCAAGCGGACACAUCGACACGCGCUCCUUGCUUGAAGCAGGAAUUGAACCCGAGUCACAUUUAUAUUAGCGGUAUUCAAUUACGUACGAAUUAGAAAUUCUCGCUCUCUCUCUCUCAAAGAUACUUGUAGGCUGUUCCACAUACGCACUCUUUGUUAGAAACAGGAAUUGAAUCCGAGUCACAUUUAUGUAUAUACCAGAGGUACUCAAUUAUGAAAACGCUCGUAGACUAUUCCACACAGUACGUACUCCUUACUUGAAGCAGGAAUUGAAUCCGAGUCACAUUUAUACUAGCAAUAUUCAAUUACGAAUUAGAAACUCCCUCUCUCUGUGUUGAAGACGCGUGUAAGCUGUUUCACACACGUACCCCCUACUUGAAGCAGGAAUAGAACUCGAGCCACAUCACGUAGACAAUAAGAAGGUAUCACGCAGCUACUCUAGAUAUCGAUAGCGGUGGUGUCAAAGUUUCUCAACUAACUAGGCCCACUAAAGUGAAAGAUGUCAUCUUCCAUUUAUUAAUGCAUACGUACAAAUGCUUUGUAAUUAGGCCAUUAUCAUUAUAUUCUUGAGCUCCCAUUGUUAAUUUGUUCCCUUCUCAUUUUCAUCUCACACCUCAUCGAGAGAGAGAGAGAGAGAGAGAGAGAGAGAGAGAGAGAGUUUGUGUAUAGAAGUAUACAACACGGCAAGCAAAUAUUACACUAAUUAAUGAGAACGUCAAAGAAAGGGAGAGAGAGAGAGUGAAAUAGUUAAAGUCGGCACCGUCUUUCAUUGACAAGCACGACGAUUUUUCUUUUUUCCAUCUCCAAAUAUAAAUCUCAGAUGUUCACUUAAGGUCAUUUUAUCUUUGGUAUUUUGCGUCGAGUCAUGUCCACCACCGGCCCUUAAUUUUGACCAAUUAGGGACCGAUAAAGUGCGAAUUUGAAAAGUCGCAAUUUAAUUUGAUCACGAGUAUGUUGUGUCACAUGUUAAAGAGAGUUUAGUGUAUAUAUAUAUAUAUAUAUAUAUAUACUAUUUUAUCGAAAAUAUAGAGAAUUUGAUGUUUAUGACUUUUUGACUCUUAAAUCAAGAAUUGUACGGGGAUGAAUGUGGUCCCCUCCUAAGGUUGAGUAGUACGCUUAGAGUUCAGUGGUCCCCACAAGAUAAUAAUAUUAAUCCAAAUGUUAGAAAUGAUCAAAAAAAUUUAUCUGAGGGUUAAAAAGUCAGAAGCAUCAAAUUUUGUAUGCUUCCAAUUGUAUAGUAGCUCUACUCUAUAUAUAUAUAUAUAUAGAGAGAGAGAGAGAGAGAGAGAGUAGGGCUACUAUACUCUUAUAUAAGUAUAGAGCCCUCGUACUCAUAAAUUGUUUUCGAUGGUGGAGAUUUAGAAUCGACGAUUUAUACUGUUAAAUAUGAUUUAAAGUAUUCAAAACUUUUAAAAAAUAAAUUUCGUAAUUUUUCGAAAUCAUAAUAAAAGGUAUAAAAUGAACAGUCAAAAUCGAAUGAUGUCUUAAAAAUAAAUGAUUGGAUCCUUUAAUUUAAGAUCGGAGUUAUUGAUCUUUAUUUAUAUAGUGAAUAGAAUUUUUUAUCAAAAAUUCAACCAAUUUUGAUUGUUUUACACCAUUAAACUAGCAAGUAUUUCAUACUGCCCAUUAAAAAUUAUCAAUUUUAAUAUUUUAUGAUCGUAAGAUAAAUGAUGUCAAAAAAUUAUAAAAAUUGAUUUAUACAAAUUUUAAAUGCUCUAGAUAACAUUUAAACGGUAUGGAUUGUCGAUUCGGAAACUUUAUCAUCAAAAAUCACUUAUGAGUAUGAAGACGAUCGUACUCAUAAGAGUAUAAUAGUUGAACUCUCUCUCUUUCUCUCUCUAUAUAUAUGUGUGUAUGUGUGUAUUACAUACUGUAUCGAUGUAUGUGCUUGCGUACAUACGCAUAUGAUUCCCAAUAAACUUUAAUUUAGGGGUGUAAACAAGCUGACCUCGAGCUCGACCUUGAUUUUUAUUUGGACUAUCACAACUUGAACUUGUUUAAUAAUAAAAGUUGCUCUGUUAACGCUGUUACUCAAAAGAUCAAUUUAUUAAGUAAUUGCCAGAAAUACAUAUAUAUUAAUAAUUUCCCUCAUAUGCAUGCAUGAUGAAUAUAUGAAAACACAUGAUCUAUUAAGAAAAUGGCUUAAAUUGAUCAAUUAAGAAAUCAUAUGCAGAAUGAAUAUGAAAAUCACAUAAAAUUUAUAGAUGAAGUAGGAGACGAUAGUUGAAGCAGGAGAUGGGGAUUUAACCAUUAUAUAAUCACAAAAAUUUAAACUAGUUAAUUAAGCAUCAAAGGUGAUGAUUGAAUCCAUAAUCUCACGAAACGAAACAGUUUAAAAUUAGCUCUGAUACUAUAUAUGUUACCGAAAGAUCCAUUACCAUGUUGGAACUAAUUGGAUGGGGAAGUAGUAAGGCAAUAGAGGUAAGGUGGAUUUCGAAAAAGCCUAUGAUAGGAUACACUGGUCCUUUCUUUUUAGCAUUUUCCAAUGGUGGGGAUUCGAAAAAAAAUGGUGCGGAUGGAUCGAGCAGUGUGUGUGUAACGCGAAAGUAGCUAUUUUGGUCAAUGGAGAGGCGACCAAUUGGAUCAAAACUCAGAGAGGGGUACGUCAAGGGGAUCCAUUAUCUCCAUUCCUUUUCUUGCUGGUGGCGGAAUGCCUUGCUAGAAUGACCAACGAGGCUACUGCCAACAACCUACUUGAGGGUAUUGGUCCAUCCGACAAGAGUAGAACUACCCUAAUACAGUUCGCGGAUGACACCUUCUUCUUCUCUGCGGCUAGAAAAAGUUAUAUGAGAAACCUAAGGCUGAUGUGGCACCUGUUCGAGUGGGCCUCAGGGUUGAAAAUAAACAGAGAAAAGUCAGAACUAUUUUACCUUGGACAGGUUGAGGGCAAAGCGGCAAAACUGGCAAAAUUGCUCGAGUGUCGAGUUGGGACCCUUCCUACCACUUAUCUUGGGUUUCCCCUUUCCCAUAAACCCCCAACAAAGGAGGUUUGGAGAGGGAUCAUUCAGAAAAUCCAGAAUAAAAUUGACGGAUGGCAAGCUAAACUCUUAACUAGAGGGGGUAGACUUAUCCUGACUAACGCUGUCCUUUCAAAUCUGCCGCUUUACUUCUUGUCAGUGUUUAAAGUACCUAAAUGGGUGAUCAAACAUAUUGAAGCCUUACGUGGAGACUUCUUCUGGAGCGGCGAGAGUAACUCUGCAGGUAAGGGAUGUUUGGUGGCAUGGAGGAACGUCUGUGUCAGCAAAAUGGAAGGUGGGCUGGGUAUUUUGGACGUAGCAAUAAUGAAUCAGGCACUACUGGUCAAAUAGUGGUGGCGAUUUUAUACAGCACCCCACCUUCAGUGGACCAAGAUUAUCCGCGCUCUAUAUUACAAUAGAAGGCGACCCAUGAGGGACGGAAAAUCCUUCAGACCACACUCAUAUUGGUGGAAGGGAGUCAUUCUUACUAAAGAUAUUUUCAAAUGGGGAAUCCAGUUUGGGUGAUGGGAGCUCUAUUGACUUUUGGUCGGACCGAUGGUGUGGGGAAAUGACCUUACUUUCGUCUUUUCCGGAAAUCCACGCGAUGAUGGAUCGCAAGCUACUAACGUCAAGGAUUGCUUCGGAAGUGAUGAUUGGAAUUGAAAUAGAAUUCUGGGUGGUGUAAGUGACGUGGCGAACAUUAAUACUGGACCAGGUUCCAACCUAUUGGCGCUAAGGGAAAGGGUUGGCAACUAUAGAGUAGUGCAAAGUCCUGACACGAUUGGGUGGAGAUGGAGUAACAACGGAGUAUUCUCGGUCAAAUCGGUGUACAGAGCGUUGAGUGAUAGGGGUACGAAGGAUGGGCGCGCUUCCAAGAUCUGGAAGCUCCAAAUUCCCCUCAAGGUUAAAGUGUUCUGUUGGCUGGUCCUUAAGAAGAGACCUCUUACAGCUAAUAACCUUGUGAAGAAAGGUUGGACCGGAGAUUCUGGCUGUGUGCUGUGUAGGGUAGAUGAGGAGACAGUGGAUCACCUGUUCUCUCAAUUCGUUGUUACAAAAUUCUGUAUGGUGAUGAUUCGAGAGGGAGUUCAGGCUGGGGAGAUAGGAGAAGAUGUACGUUACAUCUGGGAUAGGUGGUCGGCCAAGAAAGGGCUGCAUAUUAAACAGAAUAGCUUACCUGAAUUGGUCGCUUGCUAGUGGACCAUUUGGAAGGCUAGGAACGAUUUGAUCUUUCGAAACGUCCAUUUUGACCCUGUUAUGGGUGUUCAUAGGAUUAAGCAGCUACUGAAGUCCUAGGAACCCCUCUUACGACNUAGAAGCAAGGUUAAUCUAGUAAAUCAUUUGUGUGUAUUACACAAGGAUUAUUUAGAGACCAUAGAUUACUUAUUCACUAGUGGUGUUUUUUUUUUUUUUUUUUUUUUUUAUAGAGGCCCGGGUUGCCUUACUUCUGUAGCCUAAUUCAUACUUUCAAUGAAUGAAACAGAUAGCUUACUACCUUUCCUCAAAAAAAGAAAUAUAUAUUAACAAACGCCACUAUCUUCUUUUGUUUCUUUUGUUUUUGUUUUUUUUUAAGUAGAAUAUAUAGAAUUAUCUGUUAGGCAAAACUAUUGAUAAUUCCAAGCCUGGUUGUCCUUGUCCACUUGAGCAAAGCAGUGUGUGCAUUAAUUUGAUAGAGAGUUUGCACCAUUUUUGACAAAGAAACGUGUACAAACAUUGAACAAUUAAUGUCGCCUUAUUCUCUCUCCUAGCCUUUUUCGUCUAAGAUAUCGUCAUUGUAGCUGUGCGGGGAUUAUUAAGCCACAACUACUGCACCAUUGACUUGAGACAUUAAUUUAGCCCCACACAAGCUUCUUAUAUAUAUAAACCACAUGCUGUAGUGCGAACUUAAAUAUUAUAAAUAAAUAAAUAAGCACUCAAGCAUGCUUGUAUAUAUGCAUGCAUGAGAAUCAUAUGCUCAUUGCUAUAUAUAUAUAUAUAUAUAUAUAGUUUUUUAUCACCAUAUAGUAAAUUUGCUAGUGGUUUUGGCCAUGAUAUUUAUAGAUAAUUACCAUUCAUUCCUACACUGUUAAUUGUUAAAAUUUCCAAUGAUGUAAGUAAUGAAAAAAGGAGAGAGGUUCCUUAGUAAGUGCAUGCUAACUAAGUGCUUGUUUGGUUCCACUUAACAACUUGUUUUUAUUAGACAAAUAGUGCAAGGCUUUUUGGUGAAUAAAAAGUCUGAAGCUUUAGCAAAAAAUAACGGAAACUAAAAUGAAUUAAUUCAAAAGGUGCUAAUUAUAUAUAUGGACCUUUGGUUUUGUUCUUCUGCUCUUCGUUUUAGCAAAAGUUUUGAAGGAUAUUUUAAUAAAAAAUAAAAUUACUAUUGGUAUUUUAGGGCUUAAGUUGAAUAACACUAUAGAAGCUCCUAAUUAAUGGUCUGAAUAGGGGUUCUGCAUGAAAUGGUAGGCAAAGUUAAUUGCUUAUUUAUAUAAACUAAUCAUCAAAAAAACUAAACAAAAUCCUUUGUAUAUGAAUCCACUUUUGCAAUUCAAUACUAGGAAUGGAAAAACUACAUGUUGAAAAGAAAGAAAGAAAGAAAGAAUCUAUACACCCUGCUUAGGUCCAUGGCAACGAUGGAAUUCCGAAAUUUUACCAAGGUUAAUUUAGUCCUUGUACAAAUUAACUUAAUUAGAAAACAUCACAAUAACUUUAUAUAGUUAGAUAACCCUAGCUAUACCUAGGUAUAGCCACUUUUUCUGAAGCUAGGGUUUGGUGCAACAUUUUCUUCUAGGGCAGUGAAGUUAUAUAUGACUUGACCUAGUCAAAGAGAUGAGAGGCUAGAUAACAUACACACAAUAAUUUUCUUCUAUUACAUCAGUUUAAAUCGAAUCAAAAAUUAAAUUAUUAUAAAAUACAUUUUAUUGCAACAGUUUACGCUGCUGUAAUAUUAAAAAUCAUAUUAUUUAGUUGUAUAUUACUAUAAAAUUUAUAACAAUGAUUUGCAAUAGUUCUUGUUUGUGGUAAAAUAUUAUUACUGCAACUAAUAGAUAUCAAUUGCAAGAAAAAGAAUGAAUUUUUAAUAGUACUACAGGAUAAAUAAAGAGGUUCCAUAGUUUUUUUUUUUUGAGAGAGAUAGGUGGCAUGCUAACUGUUUCGUUUAUUUCAUUUAAAACUAAAAAAUUUAACUGAAAAUGUGAAUCAAUUUGAAUUCAAAUUUGGAACUUCGAGUACCAACUAUCAAACCUUUUACCACUUGUAUUAGGGACAGUCAAUGGUUCGAUAGUUUUUUUUUCGUAUGGUUGGUGUGUAUGGGGCCUAACUUAAUUAUCACCAACAAAGUUCUUAUGAUCACCUUCAGGAAAAAGCCUUUAGAACUAGAGAGAGAGAGAGAGAGAAAGGGAGAAAGAGAGAAAGAGAGAGAAACAAAGGUGAAAUAAGAGAUAUGAUCACCAUGAGAGGGUUAGAGAGGAGAUCAGGAGUGAGGCAGUACAACAGAUCUCAAGUCCCACGCAUUCGAUGGACCGAGGAGCUCCACCGCUGCUUCGUCAACGCUGUCGAUCGCCUUGGAGGAGAGGAUAGUAAGUUCUAGCAAGCUUGAAUAUAAUUAGCAAAAGUUUAAACCUUAAUUUUUGCACUUUUUAUUUGAUUCUCCCUCUCUCUCUCUCUCUCCUUCUCUCUCUCUCUCUCUCUCUCUCUCUCUCUCUCUCUCUCUCUCUCUAGUUAUCAUGUAUACAUGUGCACACACAGUGUAACAUAUAUGAGAGUUGAUUCUUGAAGAGUUAGGUAUGGUUAUUGGUGCAUGCAACUUGAUGCAGCAAAUUUAUUACCAUGAUCAAGUACUCUUGUACUUUUGUUUUCUUUUACUUUUUGAAACAUAUCUAACUAUAAUAAAAUGAACAGUCAAAUAACUAAUAUGAAUCUAUUAUAACUUCGUUGAAUAGAUGAGGACAUACUACAAAAAAAGCUGCAGGAAUUUGAUUAAGGGUUAUACCAAAGAACAUGGCACAGAAAAUUAAAAUUUUUACUUUUUAAGUGGAUCAUAUAUUUUAGUAACUCACUUUUGCUUUGUUCCGAAUUUGCUGAAGCUAUUAUGAGUACCUCUUAGAUUGAUCUUUUGGGUCUCAACCAUGCCCGUGACUGAGGAUUUGAAAACUAUUUUUGAGUCGUUUCCUAUUAGAUCGCUCUUUUGAAAUAAGAGUUUUUCUUUUUUCAUCUUUUUGGUUGAGGUGAGGGGAUUGGAUUAAUUGAUUCGAUUAAUAGUUGCAAAAUAUGAUCAAAUGGCAUCAUGGCUUAAUUCUCUCACUCUCUCUCUCUCUUUCUUCUUCUUUUUUUUCUUUUCAAAGUGUAUGCUAAACUUCUAGUUUAGAUUCGAGUUCAAAGGAUUAUGCAUGUUAGGGCACAAAGUAUAUAAUUAUCUAAACCUUAUGAUUCGAAAUUUGGAUGGUGAACUCUUUAAGCUACAUAGAUGACAACACUAGGAAUCUGAUAUAGGCAAACCUUAGUAUGAGAGGUAAUUGAAAACUUGAUUAAUUAUCAGCUUAAGAUAAACCUUGCUAACAAAUUAAAUCUAAGGAACUAUAACUUUAUAUAUAUAUAUAUAUAUACUUCUAAAUGAUAAAUAAUAAUUACCAGCUUAAUGAGAUUGAAAAAUACUAACAAAUCAUAUUGAUCAUCACGAUGGCGAUGAUCAUCGUCAUCGAUCAUCACUGAUGCUAGCUCAUCCUUAUCAUCCUGACAUUGUAUGUGUUAAUUAAUUUGUUCUUCAUCUUUUCACAGAAGCAACACCGAAGCGAAUUUUGCAGUUGAUGGGAGUGAAGGGAGUAAACAUAUCUCAUGUUAAAAGCCAUCUUCAGGUAUAUCCUCAUAUCCUUCAACUUAACCAUUUUUUUUUUUUUUUUAAAGGUUGCUAACUUAUUGCUCUUUAGGUUAUCUUUUUCCCCACUCUAUCCAAGAAAUAUAUAUGAUUGAUUUUUGUUAAAGCACUUUAAUUCAUAUUGUUGGUAUCUCAUUUAAAAGCCAUCUUCAGGUACAUAUAUUUAUGUUCCCCAAUGUAAUAUCCUUCAACAUAACCGUGUUUUCUAAGCUACCAACUUACUGCUUUUUAGGUUUUCUUUUUUCCUCUUUUGUGCAAAACUUCUUAAGNGUCAUUAGGAUGAUAUAUAUAUAUAUAUAUAUAUAUAUAUCUCUCUCUCUCUCUCUCUCUACUCUUGUGAGUAUAGAGUUCUUCGUACUCAUAAGUUGUUUUCGAUGUUGGAGCUUCCGAAUCGACGAUCUACUUUGUUAAAUAUGAUAUAGAGUAUUUGAAACUCCUAAAAAAUAAAUUUCGUAAUUUUUUGAAAUCAUAAUAAAGUCUAUCGUAAAGUCUAUCAAGAGAGUAUAAAAUAAACGGUUAAAAUCGAAUGAUGUCCUAAAAAUGGAUGAUCGGAUCCUUCAAUUUAAGAUCGGAGUUAUUGAUCUUUAUCUAGGUAGUGAAUAAAAUUUUCUAUCAAAAAUUUAACCUAUUCAAAUUCUUUUACACCAUUAAACUAGCAAGUAUUCCAUACCAGCCGUUAAAAAUUGUCAAUUUUGUGACAUUUUGAUCGUAAAGUAAAAUAAUGUCAAAAAAUUAUGAAAUUUGAUUUCUAUAAAUUUUAAAUGCUCUAGAUAAUGUUUAACGGUAUGAAUCGUCGAUUCGGAAGCUCUAUCAUCGUAAAAGCACUUCAAUUCAUAUUGUUUGGUAUGUAUCCACCAUUAUUGCAUGUUCCUUGUUAUCUUCCUGCUCCAGUGUUGCAUCUAUGGUUACAUGGGGUUCUUUAGAAAAUUUAAGAUUAGUCUUUUUUUAUAACUAAAUCAAACUUCUACAAUAUGAUCAUCACAUAUAAUUUUCUUCGUAACUCGGAAAUGGACAAGGAACAUUUACGGUGGAGUGUGCAGUAAGUGGGGAAAAUAUGAGGUGUUGUUAGGGAGCAAAGAGUAUUCGAAAAAGGAAGACGGGGCUUACCACUCUUGACUGCGGUGUGGCGCGGUAUUUGGCUUCAAAGAAAUAAUGUCAUUUUUCAGCGAAAAAAGAGUAGUAGAUCACCAAUUGUUUUCCUUUUUGUUUUGCUGGACAUCUCGUGAUAUGCUUAGUUCAUUUACGUAAUGAAUGAAGCAGAUCGCUUACUACCUUUUUCUCAGAUGAAAAGAACUUGACGACUCCUCAUCUAUCCUUUUGAUCAUUCUUCGCAGAUGUACAGAAGCAUGAGCAGCCAUGGAGGCCUAAACACUAACUCAAUUCCGACGGAAGGCAUCGACAAAUGGAUGAGCGCGGAUUGCAGCCAUCUCCCUGUUCGAGCUUCGGAGAGUCGCUGCGAGUAUCCACCAAUGAUGAGCUCCAUGCUCAGCUGCAACCAUUCAUACAAAAUGUUGGUACUAAGUUUCCAUGCAUUCUUGUGUGGUUGGCUAGAAACUAGGGCAGCUUCACUUAUACUCGCGAAAGAAUAAUAAACCAAUUUGUCAUACAAAAAAUCUAAAGCUUCUAAAUGUAGCCGGAAGCGAACAAAUUUUAUACCAGAAAACCGACCGUCCCUAGCGCAAGUGCCAAAGGGCUUGGUGGUUGGUACCCGAGGUUCCAAGUUUGAAUCCUAAUUGAUUUACAUUUCCAGCUAAAUUUAUUUCUAAAAAGAAAUAAACGAAGCGAAUAGCAUAUUAUCUUUCUCUCCAAAAAAAAAAAAAAGUUUAAACCGGGAAGGAACUCAAUUUGUAGCUUCUAUACCUUUGUUUCUACAGAAACCGUGGAAAAUAUCACGGAAAAGCAAUUAGAGUACUCAGUAGGAUCUUUUUUGAAUAGCUUGACUCAAACAAUACGUUUCUGUAAAUAGUCAAAGCCGACCCGACCUGCUCAAUUAGGUCCAUCUGGUCCGGUUUUAAAUUGGGCCAGGUCUGUUCAUGGUCCGAGUUUUUUUUUUGUUUAAAAUUGACCGAAUCUGAUCCAAGAUCUGGCCCAUUUAACCUAGGCACAAGCCCAGUCCGAACCAUUUUAACCAGGCCCAACUUGGGCCCAACGAUCUCUAAUUGUUGUUAAUUGCCCCCUAAUUUAUUGUUCUAGCCUAUACAAAGUUCUUCUCUAACUUUACCAUAUUCAUGUGAUAGCUGCAGUCAGUCCCUAGAAGAUGUUUUCAGAGGCUGGGCUUCAAAGAUGACAGGCUGUACUCCCAGUAGCAGUCGCUUUCUCAGCACAAGAGAUCAGGUCUGCCUCCUACUCUAAAGCAAACUACAAAUCAGACAUUCAAAGUUGGAAGUUGCAGUAAAAAUACUGAUGCAUUUCACAUCUCUGUGCAGUUUUGUUCAGCUGGACUACAUGAUCAAGUGCUUCAGGAGCAGCUGAAGUGCGAGCUAACCCUCUCAUCCUCCGCGCACCGAAUGCCGACAAGAUGUGAAGAGACGAGCGAGAUAGGCUCGAGCAUCGAGUUUGAUACGGGUGAAGAGGUCCCGAAGACGGUUAAGAAGAGCCCAAUAAACUUGGAACUGUCGAUCUCGUCGCCCUGUUGCUCUUAAUUUUGUUUAGGAGAAUAUAGAGCGCGUAUAUAGAGCAUAAACUUGUAUAGAGUGUCCGACCUUAUGCACAAAGUGAAUGAUCAGAUUUUAUAUCAUUUACAACAUCUGCUCUAUCAGUAUUACUGUCCAGUUACAGCAAUAGCUUUUGUUAAAUGAAGACAUUCUACAUGUGUGCACGUGUUUGUGCGUGUAGAUUGUACAAAUGAUCUCUCAUAAAAGAAAUGGAUACGUAAUUAAUAGAAUAAUAUACAAAUUUUGAUCUAAAACAGUAGUUACAUACAGAAGGAUAAUACUUCCCAGUAAAGAAAACAUGUAGGAAGAAGAGCGAAGAAAAAAAGAAAAGAAAAGAAAAGAUUACAUUGAUUAUUCAGAAACUAAUACCUUGUGCUCCUCCUGGUUUCUUCCUAACAAAACCAAAGUUGUUUACUGUACAAAACUUCAGCAGCAGGAAUAUCAAAUGGUAGAUGCAGCGCGACGAAUUGCUGUCACUUUUCUCUUCACUGAGUUGCGAGAGACCAGAGGGCAUUUGAAUAUCGAGCACUCGGCAUGAGAACUAGGGAACAAUGAUCAUGAGGUAAACCAAGGGUUCUUUUUUUUUUUUUUUUUUCUUUUUUCAUAUAUACAACUCGAAAUACAUGCAUUUGCAUGUCUACUUCUCAAAAGUUACAAUUUGCGCCUAUACUGAAAGAAAUAUAUGUACACCCUCACAAGUUCCAUUGUACACCUACAUCCAUAGAAAUUGCCAAAUAUUUUCGUGAGGUCGCUCCACCAAAAAGAGCUUUUUCCCUCAAAGAUGGGUUUUCAAAAAUAGGCCAUCAAUUUACAUGGCUUGUUUUUUAGGUUACAAGUGCAACUUGAACAUCUUGAGGGGUAUACCUGCAAAUAUGGCUAUUGUCAAGGGUAUCGAAGAAAAUUGUAACUUUUGACAGUACAUGUGUUAUGGAGGGACUUAUACACAGAAUCCCGAAAUUGUGCAUCGAAAAUAACCAUUGUCAUCACCAGAUCACAGAACAUACAUCAUAGGAAAUCCCAUACUGGUAUUGAACAAUGCCCUUGAUCACCGCUCUGGUGAUCCAGAGGGGGAUUCGUCCCGACAAACUGUAGGGCGUGCAUAUCAGGAGCAGCAAAAGUCUGUAACGAAUCGAGAAAAAUGCAAUUACACAUUUUUAAUUGAUAAAAGAUGAGUCCAUAUAAUAUCUCAUUGAUUCUAAGAGAGGAUAUGCCGUUACCUGGGUUAUAUUGGCAUUUCCAUGGAAUGGCUGUUGUUGUAAGGUAGAAGACGAAGAAUCCUGGAAUAAAAAGAUACAUGAUCAAACAGAGUUUGUUGACAAAAAUGGUUGAGAAAAUUUGAUGCCAUAGUUAUAAAUUAACCUGGUUAAACUGUGUCAGUGGAUGAAAGCUUUGUGUAGCACCAAGACCAAACUGAUGAGCAGUUAAAUAGGGGCCCUGCAACCAGAAAAUGCAAAGAACUUAAAUGUUUGAAAGUCAGAAUAAAGAAAAAUAGACAGAAAGAAAGAAAAAAAGAAUCAAAACCAAAAGGCAUUUACCGGCAUGAAAUGACUUUGUGCAAGGAACUGAUUGUUAGGAGGAUUCCUUGGUUGAGGGGGAAUGCCGAUUGGUGCUAUAUGCAGUUCAUCAUCCCUUGGUACAACCUCUACCUCCUCAGAUUGACCUGAAACCAUUUGUCCAGAAACCAAGUGAUGAUCAUGUUCAGGAUCUUUGAAAAGAGAAAAUCCACUAAAAAAAAACCAGAGUAGAUUUCCACCAACCUCUUCUUAUUUUGUGUCCCUUACAACUUGUCUCAACCUCAUUUUGUGAUUUACGGCUUGCGCCUACAAUAUUCUUCCUCUUCCCACUAACCUUCUGGUUCUCAUUACUAUCAUCGUUUUGUAUCCUUUCACACUCAAUCAAAUUAUGUGAUUGCUCCUUUGGGGCGUUUGAGAGACUCGGUUUCGGAAGGAUCCUUGUUUGCAAAAUUUGCUCCACCUGCUCUAGAAGCUGAUCUGAAUGGUUGACCAUUAAUGUAAAUGUAUCCACAUUUUCCGCAGCCUUUGCUGCGAUCUUGUAGAAAAUGCGGCAUAGAGAGCUAUACCGUUUUGGUAAAGAUGCAAUUGGACUUUCACCUUCAGCUGUAACCCCGCGAUUUUCUCUUAUGCUUCCAUUCUUUACAUCUUUUCUCCACCUCCUCAAAAUAUACUGCAGAGGAAGUUCUUUAACACUUCUUAAAUCAAGUACUUUCAGCACAUGGCAACACUGAAUCCCAACAACUUCAUAUUUUCUACAGCUACAAAUAACUGUGCCUUCUGACGGAUCAAACCUAACAAACUGCUCUUUAGUUUUAUUCUUAACAGUGACCACAUAGUCAGAUAAAGGCCCAACUUCUCCACAGCAGUAAACAAUGCAAUCCAUGAAUAGCUCAAACUCCCUUCUUAGCAUUUCAAAAACUGCGGGUGUGUAGACAUUUGCAGCUUGCCACAGCAGCCGCAGGGGAGGUACUCUUGCGGUACCAUUACUUGCUUGAUAAUCAGCUUGUAGUUCCAUUUGUCGCCUCUCGUCGACUAAUAUAUCAUACAUUUUUAAAGCAUGCGAAAGAUCUUUGUCUGAAGCCAACCACUCUUUUAGCACAACGCUCAAGUUUUCAGCUCGCAAUGUGCUUUUUAUAUCUGCAGAAAAUGUUUGACGGCCAUAAGCUAAUGCCCAGUUCCCCUUUUCCUCGAAUAAUUUGGCUAACCACUCAUUAUCUUUAAGGUUAUAUUUCUCUAACAUAGAACUCCAAGCUGCAAGGAACUCUUCUUCUUCGUCAAAAUCAUAGAUACAUUGGCUUAAAUCCCGUUCAAAAGAUUCUGAGCCUUCAAAAACAUUAGCUAAAUGUUUAACAGCACUCUGAUAUAUUUGCCACAUACAGUAACGGUGUACAGUGCCUGGCCACUUAGCAGCUAUUGCCUCACCAAUAUCUGCAUACCGAUCAGUCAAGAUUGUUUUUGGUUGCUUCCCACCCAUUGCAACUUUAAAAGUCUCAAACAACCAUUUAAGCGAUUCUACAGUAUCAUCAUAUAAAAGAGCAGCACCAAAUAUAAUAGUUUGCUUAUGAUGAUUCACACCUAAGAACAAAGAAAAUGGCCUACCAUAAUCAUUAAUUUUGAAUGUUGUGUCAAAACAUAGCACAUCACCGAAAUAGUGAUAGUCCAUCAUGGAUUUCGUGUCAGCCCAGAAAAAAUUCGUCAUUUGGUCACAUUCAUCAACUUGAAUAGCAUAAUACGAAGAAGGAUUAUCAAAUUUCAUCUUCUGAAAGUAUUCUAAUAGGGUUCUCAAAUCUCCAACCUUUAUGUCCUUACACCUUUUUCCCCUAAGGUAGUUCUUAUAUGUAUUAGGAAUCAGACUAGAAUUUUGACCGCUUCCAGUUGAGACCUUAGACAAUGGCUUCUGUGACUUCAGCAUUUGAAUAUCAAAUGGGGCUGCAAGUGGGUGGUUAUGAUCUGGGACAUAUUCGCUUACGCGAUAUUUACCGCUCGAUGUGAUUUUAAUGGCCAUUCUUGCAGCACAACCUGUACGGGUUUCAGGUCGUGGUCUCUUAGCCUCAUUUUUUGGGCGAAAACCUUCUUUCGAACAUACAUAGACUCUUGAUCUAGUGAUGUUUUUUGCGGUUUUGUCCCACCAUCCUUUACGAACACUGAAACCAACACCAACAGCAUAUCUAACAUAAUAUUCAUAUGCCUUAUCCUCAUUUUCAAACACCAUACCAACAAUUGGGACUCCUCCAGAGCUCGCAAUGACUUCAUCAGGUAACAUGGGCUCCUCUUCUGUCGUUUCUUCCUGCUUAUUUGAAGCCUAGAAAGAUGCAAUAACAAGAGAUGAAGGAAAAUACAUGCGAACAGCUUUUUAUGGAUGAAAUAGUCUAUUAAGCACAAUGUGGUAGAAUCAAUAAAAGAACAUAGUAUACAUCUACUUCUUCAAUUUAAGAACCUCUUAAAACGCUGCUCAGGAGCAUCAAAGCAUAAAAUUUGCUCUAUAGAUCAGAAGAUCAAAAGCAAGAUUUCAUGUUCACUAACGAUGUGGAAUUCCUUUCCCUCACACGACAACUGAAGUUAUACGGUCGGAAGGAAUGAUGUACCGUAAAAUGAAAUAGAGAUGCAACUGCAUGAAUACUCUUGUAUAUAGCCUCUCUGAAUGUAUUUCUGAACAUUUCCUAAAGGCCAUUAUCAAAAAUAAUAAUAAAAGGGAUAAUAAGAUUUUUUUGAAAAAAAGUUAUUUUUUCUUUAAUAAAAACAGCAUACACAAUCUAUAUCUAAAAAUAAAAAGAGCUAAAAAGAGAAAAGUUAAGACUCUGGAACUAGUUUACCAUGGUGGAACAAAGCACAGAAAAUUGGACUAACUUCCAUAGAAAGAAAAUGUUUGUUAAGUUAAAUGCAAUUCCACAGAGAAUUCUUCAGAUUGUUCAAUUAUGCAAGAAUUAGUAAUGUACAUAUUUUCCUACUUGAUUAGCGCAAUAAACAGACAAACAUUGAUUCAGGAAAUCUGCAUAAACAACCUGCAUCUCGUCUUUACGUAAGAAUUUCCCUCCAACGCCUCUCUGCCUUCUUUCCGCAAGAGCUUGCCGAGACGGAACCUGCAAGAAGAACACGCCAAUCCAAGCAUGAAAGUUUAAAUUCAAAACGAAUAAAAUACUUCAUCAUCUCAUUUUCCCUUUCCGGAACAAAAGUGCUUGCAUUGAAAACACUACCUUAAUGGACCUAUCCACCACUUGCCUACUGCUUCUCUUCUGCAUGUACUUCAUAAUUAUGUCCCUUCUCUCCUCAUGGCUGUAGCGUGAAACCUUAAUACCGAGCUCCCUCAGCAACCGGGAUUGGCCAGGGUUCGACACCAACGGCACCUUCUCCCCCUUAUUCCUAUUGCCCAAUUCAGCCGAAAUCUUUCCGGAAUUAGCAACUUUCUCUGCCAAGGUGGCUCCUUUGACCCCAUUUGCUGCCCCAUCCUUAUCAGAAUUGUUCUCAAUAGCAAUCACCUCCACGACCUCAGCGUCCUUCUUCUUAGCUUCUUCUGCUUCUCUGUGAUCUCUCUUCUUAUACGGCCCGCGCUUCUUCUUCAUGGCAGCGCCAUCGGAGGGGACGGGAAAGGUGCCUUUCGAGCACAUGAACCGCUGCAUGAGCAAAAUCCGGCUCACUUUGGAGCGCUUCCCCGAACCAGUGUUCGUCGUGAAGCCCAUCUUUUCGCUGUAGGCGGCAUAAUAAGCCUUGGCGGCGGACACGGAGUCGAACUCCAUGCCCACCGCCGGGACCAGCCGGCCGGAGGAUAGGGUUCCGGCGGGGUCCGGCGGGGGCGCCAGCGGGUGCGAGUGGUCCAGCGCCACACGGGACACCGACCACCGCCCGUUCUCCUUCCGCACCACCUCCAUCAUCGCCCGGCACCGCUCCUCCCCCACCCCGCAGCCGCCGCCGAUGGCGGCGGAGGCGGGAGACGCGGCGGCGGCUGCGCCGCCUCCUCCUCCUCCUCCUCCUCCCUGUCGCAUGUGAAGGAAGCUCCGCAUGAUGUAGGCCACCCGGAGGGCGUACUCGUUGUGGACAACCUUGCCAUCUCCGGGGCAGGGCGGCGGCGCCGCCUCCUUGAACUCCUUCAACGCCGCCUCCGCGGGUGGCUCCUCGACGUUCCGGGGUUCUAGGGUUCUCUCACCGUCCUUCUCCGCUUCUUCUUCUUCUUCUGCUCCUACAACUCCCACUUCCCCAGCCAUUUCUCCGCAUCCUCCCUUCGCCUCGCCCCUUUUCCUUAGGGCCUCGUCGCUGAUCUCCGCGAUCAGCACCAUGGACACACGGAAACAGCAACCGAUCGACCCAAAUCGAACGAAAUCGAGACCCUAAACCAUCCAAAAAAUUGCAGCUUUGUAAGAACCCUCGGUACACGAAACCCUCGGAUCGGGAUCGGGAUCGGGAUCGGGAUCGGCGGAAACCCUAGGCGGAGAGGAGGUCGGCGGAGCGGGGCGGCGGAGGGUCGGAGGGGAGGGAUUGGGGAUGGGGGGAGUGGAACAAGAGAGACGGGUCGGUGAGCGAGCGAAGAGGCGACACGUGCCCUCGAAGCUCGAAAGGCGACCGGUAGGCCCGGUGCACGGUGCGCGGGCACGUGCUUGUCGGACACGUGCCGCUCGCAGGAGGCAACAGGCCAACCGCUCUGUAUUGGGCCAAAUUGUUGAGCACAUUUGAAGAUCAUGGGCCCAAUUAUAAUUAUGGUAAAGUCCAAAUCUCAUUGGGCUAUGAAGGGGCCCGUUUGGAGUUAAGGUGUUGAGAGAGUUUAUGCGCACGAGCGCGCGUACGUAACAUGGUGAUAUUACGUACAGAAACAAAUACUCCACAUUACGUGUACUCGACCUUAGAAUUUUGCAUAUAUAUAUAUAUAUAUAUAUAUAUAGAGCAAUGCCACAUUAAUCUCUUGAUUCUCGUAUGUGUUUCGCGCUUUAGGAGAAAGUACAAGUAUCCCAUUCCCCACAGCAUCAUUCGCUAACCAAUUUCUUAAAAAGUCACACAAUUUUCAAUUGCAGGUGUAUCUUACUUUGCUGUAAUUCUCCACGCAAUGAAUGCGAUGAGGUGAAUUUUUUCGUCGCUUGUGUGAGCACUCCAAUGUUUGUUUGUUGGCAACUUCCCACCUUUUUCUUUAACCAAAAAAAAAAAAAAAAGAAGUAUAAGCUGCGCAGAAAAAGAAGUUCCGAAUCGGAUUAACAAAUAUUUUUUUUUACAUUUACUCUAAGAUUUUGAUGUUUCGUGUGGUUUUAAAAAUUUUUAAAACUACUAAAACUGAAACUGAAAUUGAAUUUAAAAUCGUCGAAUUUUAAAAGUCCGCCAGCAAAACCACAAAAGGGUCAGAAACCUGGAGCCAAACCCGAAAACCCGAAUCCUAGCUAGAAGGUGCAGGAAAAGCAACCCAUUAAUUAACAAAGUCUAAAAAGAGUCUAAACCAAAAUCACGAGAGGGUAAAUAUUGUACCUUAAACCAUGCAUGUAAUAGAAUAUCAUAAAUCUUAAUAGAAAAAAAGGCUUAGUUCUAAUUAAGGAGAAAAUUUCCUCACCAACAGUGAUUCAUGAUGGAUUUUUAUCAGACAAAGCAUAUUAAGCCAUAGAAAAUGGUAAAUAUACAAUUAAAAUGGUACCAUAGGUUAUUAUUAAAAUUGAUGUCAAAAUAAAAUCAUAUAUAUAUAUUCUGCAAGAAGCGGAGAACUAAAUCACCCCUGCAGUAAAAGAUCAUACGAGAGUUUGAACCUGAUGUUUUGAGAUAUGUAAACAACAUAGAAUUUAGCACAAAGUAAUUAAUCAAAUCCCCACACAGUUCUCAAUGUGGUAUAAUUAAUAGCUCGAGUUCAAAUGAAGAGAUAUAUACACGUAAGAAAAUAUGAGAAUGUGGUCAGAGUGCAUUAAUGAGAGCAGUUACAAUAGAUAUCCACACUUCAAUAUUAUGUGCCAAAAAAGAUUCAGGACAUUAAUUUUUAAAGAUUGAUGAGUUUGAGUGCACUUGUUAGAUGCUACACCAAAUGCAUGUGCCUCUUUUGUUGCCUGUUAGUGACCCAAAGCUACUGCUUUUAUUGCUUUGAAUGUAUUCUCUAUAUUUGAAAAGGCUUUAAAUUAAGAUGCAUUGUGUACUUUUUAAGAGAGUUAGGUAUGCUAAAUAAUCGCAUUGCGCCACGUAAGAGAGAGAUUUGUAUAACUAUGCGAUGUUUCACUAAUUUUUUUAACAAAUUUAAUUAUGCUAUAUAUGAAGUGAAUAUAUGACCUUGUCACAUGCAUGGUAUUGUUCCUUAAUAACUAAAUUGGAUAAACUUAGUAUGAUUGAAAGAAUAUAUCUUUGGCUUGCUGCUUUAAACUUUUCAACGUUAAAAUUGCUGAUAUUUUGAGUUAAUUAUAUGUACCCGUAAAAAAAAGAAAAAAAUUCUAUCAUAAUUUAAGGACAAGUGUAUGGUUUCACGGGGUGUUCAAUGUAGUUGCAUCAUUAAUUGGCUUAUCAUUUUCUCAAAAAAAAAAAAAGAAAAGAAAAGAAAUGGCUUUAAAUGCAAGUCCUUUUCAUUUAUUAAUUAUUGUUGAUUAUCUCUCUCUCUCUCUCUCUCUCUCAAACAUCCACCAGUGUAGUUCUCGAUAAUAAAUAUAAGUUGGAAAAAAAAAUAUUUAGUAUUUUUUUAUUAUUGUACUCUUUAAGAUAUUGUUUUAUCAGAUUCUUUUAAUUUUGUUACCUUAUGUUAGAAACUUUGUGAAUAAAUAAUGGUGCAAGUCCCAUGCAAACUCAACUUGCACUCUACAACUUUUUAUUAGAAGCCCUCCAUAUAUGGUAUGAUGAAUAAAUAAAUUAGUGAAUAAGACCAUGAGCAUUUAAUUCCACCCCCUUACUCCCAAUUUUUUUCCUCACAUCAAUCCAUUUAGGCAGGUGAGCAAACAAACUCUCCAUCCACCCCACAAAAGCCAAGUGAGCAACCCAACAGUGUUAGUCCUACACAAUCCACACCCCUUUGUAUAAUCUUUUAAAUGGCCUUAAUUUCUUCACCAAGGGCCUAUUUUUCAAGUAUAUAUAUAUAUAUAUAUGCUAAAGAAAGACUAACAACUUGUUCAUCAAAAAUUCUCCAAAGACGUCUUUGAAUCGUACGUAAAUCUUGUUUCUUUCUUAUCAAUCUGAAAGUUUAUUUUGUUGUCUAACCAUUGAAAAGAUAUGCUCAAGAAACGCUAAAUAUCUAUUUAAUUUUGUGGUACUUACUUUUUCUUCUAAUAGCAAACAUUUUUAAUAAGGUGUUUUACAUAAAACAAUUCUAGUACUUCUAUUACAGUAAAAGGCUGAAACAAUAAUCUAAGUUUCCAGUUCAAAAGCUCUUAUUUGAAAGCUUUGAUCCUACAGAAAGGAAUUGUCGAAGUAAUUUUAAUGUAAGGCUUCUCCGAUUAACACUAUCAGAACAACACUUUAUCAAGCAGCAUGUCAGCCUAACAUGCUGUAAAACCAAUCAUAUGUCCAACCCCAUUAUGAAAAGACAAUGUGUGGGGGACUCACAUUGUAACUUUGGUCAAUGGAAUUAAGGGGCAUCAUCAAACACUCAUUAACUACACAAAGACAAUGGUGGGGGGAGGUGAUGCAAUGGAAAUUAAAUGCCUUGUGUGGAGGUUGAGGGUGCCUUGGUAGGGGCCCCAUGGGACCCAAAUGGGACCCACAUUAGUUGGGUCAAUUAAUAGUGGCUUUGUUUGGGGUCACUUUUUAGGCCCUUCUAACUUAAUUGUUUGUACCUUUCUCCAUAAAGUUUGACAACUUCUUAUGUAUGAUGAUGUGUGUAAUAAAUGAUGGCAUAUCUUGUAACUUAAUUGGACUUGUUGGGUACCAAAGAAAAAAUAAUAAUAAUAAUAAUAAUAAUAAUAAUGUUUAGCACCUCAUUAAUGAGGUUGCUUGGAUCAUAAGGUUUAGUUACUACCUGUUACUUUUUUAUAUGACAACCCUGAUACCACAGUAUAUUUCAUAAUUUUUAGGUACAGAAUGAUUUUAUAAUAUUAGAGUUAUUAUAAUUUGAGAAUAAAAUAAUUAUAAAAAAAUUAUAUUUUUAUGUUUUCUAGUGUAUGUAGUAAAUAAUGGUUGAUAUCUAAAAAAGAAAAAACAACAAUAAUGUUAUUAUCCAAUUUCAAUCCGAAAUUUUAAAUUUUUAUACUGUGUGUGAUAAGAUAAAAAGCAAAUCAAAUUAGAAGUAAAAGUUUCAGAUAAACUCCUAACAAUAAAUUAAGACUCUAGAGGAACUUUAGAAAGUUUAAUUUUAGCAGUCACAUCACUACCAAAACCUUAUUGAUCAUAUCAAUAUCAAACACUGCUGGGAGCAUUUAAUGCAUCUGAUAAAAAAUACAAAAAAAAAGAGUAAACUAUAUAUAAGUAUCCUUUUCAUAAAGAUUUAAAAAAUAAAAAAAAACAAUAUAUGAUCUUAUUUUCACAAUUUUUUUUGGUCCUUUUUUUGAAUGGUAUCUAUAUAUUUUCACAUGUUAGGAUUUUCAUAAAGUCAACAGUCCAAUGCAUUCGUUUAUAACAAGCUACCCUUUGCUGCCCCAAUUAUUGUUCAAAAUAUUUUUAUUCGAAAUAAAUAAAAAACAUGUAUGAACAAUAUGAUUUUGUGAUUACUAAGUUUGCACUGAUCAAUUAAAUUUUUUUAAGAAAAUCUAAAGGGGGAAAAGGUUCUUUAUUGAAUGCAAAAUAUUAAAAAUAUUAUUUUUUAAAUAUUAAUAGGCAACAAACAAUCUUAAUUCUCCAAAAUUUUAAGAUAUUAAAAAAAUUAUUAUUUUUGAUAUUUUAUAUUUAAUAUUAUCUGUCUUAAACUCAUGUUUUUAACGCCAGGUAUUUAAAUAUUUGCGUUGUAAAAUUCCGCUCUUUGGAGAGGAUUUAAGUAGGAUUUUAAGGCAAUAUAUGGGAAGCACUAAUCUCAAAGCAUAGGGUGGAAGAACAUAUUUACAGCAUAUAUAUAUAUAUAUAUAUAUAUAUAUAUAUAUAUAUAUAUGAUCAUUAAUUGGAGUGAGUCACGCAUAAAUAUAAGGUAGUGGUUAGUAUUUUGACCUCUAAAUUUGUAUAGCCAUGGAAUAUAUAGAUUAUAAAUAUAUGUACGUAUCUCCAUUGAACAUGCACUUGCAUCUUUUACUUUUUUUUUCAAAAAAAAAGAAAUCUGGGAGACUCCUUAUUUGGCAAUUGAUUUAUAUGUGUUUCAAAAUAAAAAACAAAAAAAAAGAAGAAUUAGAUGUGAUUGAUUUACUGAUUUUCCGAUAAAUAAUAGAUUGCUCAUGAUCUUAAUUCUGUUAAUUUGUUAUUUCACAUAAAAAUCGACAUAUUUAAUCAAAAAAAUUAUUUAUAAUUUUUACUAAAAUAUUUAUCAAUAUUUUGCGGUAAAUAAAGUUGGAAAGAACCACUUUGCAUGUAUAUAAUUUUUUUUUUAUAUUUUGAUGUAUAAAAUUACCUACACAGAGAAUUUACAUUGUACGCAAUAAUAAUAAAAAAUUACAGGUACGUGAAGUUGCAUUAAUAGUGUUUAUGUGUUACAAAUAAAGUAAGUGCCAAUGUAGAGGACCCAUAACAAUAACAAUAAUAGUUAUUACAAAAUAUUUGUUUAUAAAAAGAAAAUAAUUUAAGCAAUCAUUAAAUAACAGUAUCUAAUACCUUAUAUCAUUUAAUACACCCACUCAAUAUUUAUAUUCCCCCAUUUAUUUAAUUAAUUAAUAAGCUCAUUUAAUUACUUCUCCAAAAAUCUAUAUAUAUAAUAUAAUAUAUAUAUAUACGUGUGUAAUCACCGCACCUCUUCUACAAGUGACCCCCAAUUAGGCCUCCUCCUCGGCGUCGUCGUCGUCGUCUCCGCGAUCGAUUCGAGCUAGGGUUUGGUGGGAGAUCGAGGAGGUGGAAACCCUAACCCUAGGGAGGCGGGGGCAAAUGGCGGCGGACGUGAGCUCGGUGGCGAGGAUGCUGAGGGGGUACGCGGAGGAAGGGGAGGCGGAGAGGGAGCUCGUGACGAGGGAUUUGCUCGGCGGAGGGGGAGGGAGCGGCGCCGCCGCCGCGAUCGGGGGAGAAGAGGUCGAUCUGGACGUGAAGGUGCCGUCGGGGUGGGAGAGGAGGCUCGAUUUGAUGGUAAUUUCUCUUUUUCCUCUACUUUUGUGUCUCUCAAUUUGUUUGAUGUUUUUUUUUUUUUUUUGCUUAAUUUGAUUUAAUUUGUGAUUUUUUUGGGAUCAAUUUGUGGUUGCGUAUGCAGAAAAUUGAGAUUUUUUGGGUUGUUUUUUUGGGGAAUUACUGAGAAUUUUGUGCAGAAAAAUUGAUUUGUCUUGCUCGAUUCGUAGUUGUUUAUGCAGAAAAACCAGAAAAUUUUGAUUUUUUUUUAAUACAUAUUGCGAAUUUGGCUAAAGUUUAAUUCUGAGUAAUUGUAAGGUUUUAUUUGGGAUUUGGUACGUGAAAUUCUAUUUUGCUCAAGCUCAAAAUUGGAUUUUUUUUUUUCCUUUUAAUUAGUUACCAUGAGAAAUUAUCUUCAGUUUGAAAAUUCCCUUUGUUUCUUUAUCGUUUUGAUGGUUGAAUUUUAAAUUUAAUUUUGAAAUUUGUAGUAAGAUUCCUUAAAAAGGAAUUUAUACUUAUCUUUUUCGGAUAUUGUACAAAGUAUCAGUAUUUUUUUUUAUUAAAUGAAAACAUGGGAUUAGUUAAUUUAUUAUAAAGCAGGAUCUCAUUCUUCGAUCCUUCACAAAUUCCUACUUUUUGUCUCCUCAUCUAUAAUAUAUAUAUAUAUAUAUUUGGAGUGACAAAAUAAUUCUAUUUUCAUAUUGCCCUGUACUCUGUUCUUUAUUAUUAUAUUUUUAAAUUUUUUAUUAGCAUGCUAAAUUCAGAAUUUUGGUACUGUUCCCAAGUAAUUUUUUCACCCGUAUAUACCUCAAAAAAUAAUUCAUUUUCUCAUAUAUAUUUUUUAAAAAAUGAUUAAAAGAAUCCUUAUCCUUUCUCUUACUUCUGUUUUUGUCAUUUAAAUAACAAAGAAGUCUUAGGAAAUUCUGAAUAAUAGAUAAUUUUAGUCCAUUUACUACUACUACUACUACCCAACCAAAACGAUCAAAUAUUUGAGCUAUUUUUCAUUAAAUAAAAACAGAAUUUGCAUGAAAAUUUUGCGCCAGUAAUGUUAUUACUAUAUAUUAUUAAGAUGAAAUUUAGAAAUAUCGGUGGUUUUAUGUACUGCAACUCGGUAUCAGUAGUAGCAGAACAUAAGAUGCUGAGUUUGAGUUCCGUCAGGCUCAUAAUAAUAAUAAUAUUAUUAUUAUCUUUUUCAGUCCGGUCGGACUUAUCUUACUCCUCGUCAUGUCCAUGACCUCAAUUUCCCUCCUCCUUACUACGCCGCUGCCGCCACGGCCGCUGCCGCGGAUUUCAACCUUUUCUCCCCCUCCGUCGACUCCGCCGCCGCCGCAUUCUCGAGCAGCGUGUGCACGCUCGACAAGGUGCGCUGCGCCCUCGAGCGCGCCGCCGCCGCCGCCAAUCGUGUCGGCUCCGCCUCCCCCUCGCCGUCCUCCGCCACCACAUCCACCGCCUCGCCCUCUCCGAGGCACCGCCAGUCCCCGCGCGGGGAUACGAAUACGGAGAUGCGGGCCGCCGCCUGCCCGGCGUGCCUGACCUACGUGCUCAUCGCCAGCGCCGAUCCCCGGUGCCCGCGGUGCGACUCGCACGUGCCCGCGCUCUCCGCCGCCCCGCCCCCGCAGAAGAAGCCGCGGAUCGACCUCAAUGCCGCCGCCGCCGCCGACGAAACCGACUGAGCUAGUCCUUUGUUAUUUUGAGCCUCACUCAUAUGAGCCUGCGCGCAUGCAAAUUCUUUUUGUGUGUUUGAUAUUCCAAUAAAAAUGUAUGUAUAAAUCAUUAAUAUAUAUAUAUAUAUAUNUGGGAAAAGAUAUUUGAGGUUUUGUUAAUUUAGAGAGGAAAUAUAACCAGGAAAUGUUUUUAAGUUUUUUUUUUUUUCACUUGAUAGUUGACAAUGUAAUUGGAGAGUAGAUAUAUAAAUUAAUUAAUUCUUUCGUUUUGGGAUAAUUACAUUUUCCUUUGUUUUCAGAAAAAAAAAAAAAAAAAAGUUUGAAUGUCUCCAAAGUUCCUUUAAUUUGUUGUCGCCAUGCAUCGUGCAUGGAUGGUUUGUUCUGAUUGAUUGGUUGAUGAAUAUUUAAGUUGGAUUUUAAUUAGAGCAUUUGAUCAGGCCUAGCUUGUACGUGUGGGGGCACUCUUUUGAGGAAAGGGUGGUCAAAAUUGUAAUUUCAUUCGAUCAUGGAUCCAAGCUAAGUACACACACUGACACACAUACCAAAAAAAAAAAGGGUUAAUUGAGUACGCUAAACUCGUAAGCAACAAUAAAUAAAAAAGUUAAAAUGCGUGAGUUAUAUUGCUAAUAUGAUAUUACUAAUCAAUUAAAUUUUUUUUUUAAUUCAAUCAUCUUAUUAUAAUUAUUAAAAAAUAUUUUAUUUAUAUUAUUUUUAAAAAAAUGAAUAUAAUUGAUUGUUGAUAUAUUAGGUGGUAUGAUUGAUAUAUCGUAAAAUCUCUCACAAUAAACGUGGGAGAAGAAUACUAUUUUUUUGACCUUUAUCAUUGAAUAUAAUUAGUCUAAUUACUAAUUUUUAAUAUAAUUAAUUAAGACUGUUGAAUAUAAUUGAUCUAAUUACUAAUUUUUAAUAUAAUUAAUUGAGAUCAUUCAAUAUAAAUGAACCUCUCUAUAUUAGAACUAUUUACCUAUCUAGCCUCUUUACAAAAAAAUAUUCCCUAUCUAGCCUUCUUUUGAAAAAUAUUCUCCAUCUAGCCUCAUUUUUAAAGAUUAAAAAAAAAAAAAAAAUUAAUACCUUUAAUAUAUAUUAAGGAGUUAAGUGGGAGAGAUUAUCUUUUUCUCUCUCCUCUCCUAUUUUUCGAGAUCCCUUCUCACUCUCUAAUUUUCGCGUAUAAUUUAUCUCAUAUCGAUUUAUUUCAAAAUAGAAAAUUUUCAUAUGGCGCAUCAACCAAUUCCAAUCUUUUUAUAUUUUGAUGGAAAUAUUAUGCAUGGUUCAGAAGGAGUUGAUUAUAAUGGUCCUGAUCCAAAAACUAUUUAGAUUUCUCGUACUUUAGGUUUUUUAAUAUAUUAAAACAUGAAAUUUAUAGACCGAAUGAGAUCAAAAUUAUUUUGAUAUAAAAAUUAAUGGGAGAGGAGAGAGAAAAAGAUAAUCUCUCCCACUUAACUCCUUAAUAAUAUAUAUUAAAGAAAUUAAUUUUUUUUUAAUCUUUGGAAAUGAGGCUUAAUAGAAAAUAUUUUUCAAAAAGAGUUAGAUAGGGAAUUAUUUUUUGUAAAAAUAGGUAAAUAGUUCUCUAUAUUAUGUAAAAGGAAAAUGCCCUCAUUUGAUGGACACAUCCACAUCACCAUUAAAUACACGGUGGGCCUACCCCCAUUUUACACGUGGCGAGGUAUUAAUGCUCGAUGAUGUUGUUCUCUUCUAUUCUAAUUAAUUAACGCGCGUGAGCAACUGCUACACUCCACAAUGGUCGUGGGCUCCAUCAUAAUUAAUUAAUAAAAAAUAAAUAACCAAAUAAAUUAAUAGAGGUUAAUAACAUCCAAUUAAAAAAAUAUAUAUAUCUUACAUAUAAAUAUUAAAAAAUAGUUACAACUAAUCUUUUCACGGCAUUCACGCAAUAAUUCAAAAGCAAAAUUUUGGAUAAAAUGGUUAUUUCUUUUGAGUUAUUUUUAAAGUUUGUUACUAUCGAUAAUAUAAUUUUCGUCAAAUUAAGAAUAUAAAAACUUGGUCUACUGUGUCCUUUUCUCUUUGUUUAAUGAUCAAUAAAUGAGUAAGCUUUUAAAGAGAGUCGUGGAAGAGUGAAAUAAUAAAACUCUGAAUUUAUUAAUGAAGUUGAAUGAUGUAAAAUCAUAGAAAAAAGUUUUUUUUUAAAAAAAGUAUGCCAUAAGAGAGUCCAAACUCUUUCACCCUAUCCAGCUGUUGUAGACAACAACAUCUAACUAUAAACAUUUAAAGGAAAAUGAGACCCAUCCUAGAGAAUCAUUUUGAUGUAACUAUCAAUAGUAAAUUCUAAUUAAAUGAAAUAUAUAUAUAUAGUAGGUUUAUCGGAGUCGGUUAUUGAUAAAAUAAUUUGUAAAUAAUAAAAUCAGCUCUGUUAAUAUCAUUAGCGAUUUUGUUACAUAUUUGUCAACGAGGAAGCUACGGGUCUCUUUUGAGUUAGGUCCACAAAUAUUGAUGAAGGUGCAAGUACACCAAAUUGGUCGCUUUCCAAUUUAUUGUUCUCCCACUAACAUAUUUCUCUUUUCAUUAAUGUUGAAAUUAAAGGUACUUAAACAUUUCAAGUAUCAAAGAGCCAUUCAUUUGUAAUAGGUUCUAAUAAUUAAGUUGCAUUUAAUGCUUAACAAAAAAUCUUUUGGUUUGAAAUCAAUCGCCAUUAAUUACUAGGACUAAACGCUCGAUGUGAUCAAUGUGACAUGAAACCAUGUUGUGUUGUAAUUGUAUUCAUUGACCUAACCCCAUUUAUGAGAACUUUAAAUAUCACAUGGAAAAAAGUGUUUGAAACUAAUCUUAAAAUUGUAUGUGUUGGAGUCAAUAGGAAAAAAAAACGUUACCUAAAUAUGGUUUGGUACAAAAUAUUUGAUAGUUGGAGAAGAGAAACAGUUCACCCACCCCUUAUAUCUUUUAUCAUUCUUUUUUUCCUCUUUUUAUUAGCAUAGUUUAGAGUAAUUAAUUAAGCACAUAUAUAAUAGUUUCAUAAAUAAUAUAAUAACGUAAUGUGCAUUAAGUUACAAUAGCCAAAGUUCAAGCUAAUUAAUAACAGGGUGGCAAUUUGAGUUCACAAAAUUUAUACUAAUUUGUGUCCAAUAAUAAUAACAUUAGCUUGAUUUAUUUAAAUGUCGAUAAUUUGACCAUAAACGUUCAGAAACAUAAUUUGCUAGUAACGAGUUAUGUUAUGUCGUGCCAUUUAGGACCUUUUAAGUAUUUUUUUAAGCUAAUGUCGCAUUUUGAUGUUUUUGGUACGUAUCUGUUUUUGUUUAUUUAUUUUUUCUUCUCUCUCUUUCUCUUUCGAGACAAAUGUCGCGGGUAACACUCCAUUAAAGGUUGAUACAAAAUAGAAAGAUUACGCAUGUGAUUAAAAGUCGAACCAGGGUGGUGACCCCGAGCUUGCUUUUGGUCGAGUUUGGAACCUAAUUAGGUUCUAGUCGGAUCCAAUCCGAGCCAAAUUUAGGCCAAGGCGGUUCGAGUCGGGCUCUAAACAUCUCUUCGCGAAAUCCGAGUUCGGAACCAGCCCGAGAAGAACUGUGUUUUAUUGUUUGGUCCAUUAAACCUCCCCUAGCUAGAAUAUUUUCUGGGCCAUGUCUAUGGGUCUAUUAUUGCUUUAUAUCAUUGUGUGUGCAUAUAUAGCAUGUUCAAUGUUUAGCAUUGGCCUUGUGUCUAGGUUGAUGAUCAUUUAUGGUCUCUAUUUGAUCCUAUUUAAAUUCAAUUUCAACAUGAGAUAGUUUAGUUUGGUUCAUCGUAGUACCCUUAAAAAAGAAAAAAGAAAAAGAAAGAGUAUGGUGGCACUACAACAGAAUUAGGUUAUAGGGACACAUGUUUGGGACACUUUUGAGUAAGUGUCCCAUUUAUGCUAAAACUUAAAAACACAUAUACUAAUGUCUAAAUAUAAAGUCCAAUCCAACCAAAAAUAAAAGAUUACUCUACUCAACCCACCACACCCAGUCCAUUUGGCCUGAUUACAAACAGAAAAGAAAAAAAAAAGAAAAAUCAUUUACCAUCUUUUCUUCUCUCUUCACUGAAUCCACUGAAAUUCUAGACGAAAAGCCUUUACUGUCGUCCUCCUCUGCCACCACAGCCAACGAGAUAGAGUUUUGGCGGUUGCUAAAUGCUUAAAUAAGUGUUGGUAAAUUAGCAGCACUCUUUUAGGUUAUAGCGACACUCUUUAACUGUCACUAUAUACCUAGCGACCCCACAUAUAGCAACACUUUUUAAAAGUGUCGGUAAUUUUAGCUAGCAGCACUUUUUUGACAUGUACCUACAUUUAAAAGUGUCGCUAUAGACCGUUUUUAUUGUAGUGGAUAUUGUUGGAUUUACAUUGUGGUAACCCCUAUUCGACACGAAUUUGCAACGCAUUAACACCCUAGUUUUGGAUCUCUAUUGUAUAUGUACAAUAAGAGAAUGCUAUAAAACUUAUAGCAAUUGAUAACACAAGUGUUGUUUAUGAUCAUGUUUAUGAACCAUUUUCCAAACACUGCAUCUUGGUCAUUAUAUAUAUAUAUAUAUAUAUAUAUAUAUGAGGAUCGAAAAAUAAAUAAAUAGAAAAAGAGGAGUGUUACCAAAACUUUUUGCAUUUGAAAUUUGAGUAUUAUUCUACCAAGCAUGCAAUACAUCUAGAAAAGAAAGAGUAAGAGAACAAAUUGAAAGAGAAUCCGAAAAGCAGGUAAGAAGAGGGGAACAAAGAAAAAGAAAGGGAGAAAGGAGAGAAAGAGAGCAUGAAAUGUCACGAUUUUGCCUUCUCGACAGCAUUGAUCACCGAAAGGAAGAGCUCGACGCUGCAGGGGAUUCGAAGGAUCCCGCGUUGGUCGUAACCUAACUCCUCCGCGGCCAUCUCGAGCAAAACUACAAAGCAAGGGUGCUUGAAGAGGUUGGUGUGCACUAAAACCCUCUCCCUCUCCUUCCCCCGCCCUACGAGCAUCGGCACGUAGCCUCUCGGAGACAUCUCCUUCCUCGCCAUGAGCUCUUACCCCCCCCCUCCUCUUACAGCUUCUGGGAGAAGCCCUUCUUGGUGAAGCUUAUACACAAAUGAUGACCACAAUUGUGACAUAUUUAAAAAGCUAGGGAUAAGAUCUAUAGAUGGGCUUGCAUUGACCUCUAUGCAUGGCUCCUUUGCAUUUUGGAUUUUGAACAAUAAAACUAAAAUUUGAUGGUAAAAGUUGUUUGAUUAAAACAUAGUAUGGAUUGAUUAAUGAAACAAGAAGCAGGAAUUUGAAAAUGCUCAUUCGAAUUGCAUGCAACAAAUUAUAAUUAAUCUCAAUCACAACAUUGUGUUUGAAUUUAAAAACUAGGGAAAAAAGAAAUAAUUUACUACUUUUAGUUGGAAGGGAUCAUAGUUAAGUAAUUCCUUCAUUGACCAUCCUCGAGAGUUUUGGAUUUGUUUUUGUGCAUUAUUGAGCUGACUCCUUAAAAAAUGUUGUUAUUAUAUUAUUGGGAUAAUCUAAGGAUAUAUUUUGUUGCAUCUAUUAUUGGUCGACAUAUAUAAUUAAACACUUAAUUUAAUGUCCUUAUCCAUAUGAUGAGCCAAUACUAUAUUUGAGAUGUCACUUUUACUUACAAAGUUGUAUGUAAACAGCAUGGAGAAGAGAGGUGUAUUCGUGAGGAUUAGGGUUUUGCCAACUAAUUAAUAAUAUUUAGUAAUUAUUUGAUAUAGGAUAUAAAUUUUUUUUAAAAAAAGUAAAUAGGGCAACAAAAGUUCUACAAGGUGCUCCUUAUCCUUCUACAAGAUUGUGUGAGGAGAUGAGGAGGACAUGUGCUUUUAACUUGUAGCGGACAAAUAUUUUGUAAGAAGCUUAAAUUGUACUUAAUAUAUAUGUAGUGCAAUAUCUUAUCUAAUACAUGUAGCUAGAUACCUUUAUAGAUUACUAUAUGGAUUACUGAAAUAUAUAAGAUGAAUCAAACAAAAUAAUCUGACAUAUUCAAUGAAUGAAGCAGAUAGCGUGCUACCUAUUCUCAAAAAAAAAAAAUUAUCUGACAUAUGCAGUAAUCCAAAAUUAAAUUACUACACUGAACGAAAUGAAGUAAUGCUAUAUUAGUAGGAAUCUGAAAAACAAAUGUCAAAUUUUCAAUUAUGUUGAGAUAACCAAUAAUUCUACAUAUAUGUCGCGAACCAAAUAGAUCGUGUAUGUUAUAUAUAAGUCAGGGCACGAUUAUUUUAUCCAAUAUAUUUCUAUUAUCAUUCUCAAUAAAUAAAACCGUACAAAGAACUAUAAUGAAACACCUCCGGACAAAAAAAAUAAAAUAAAAUAAAAAAUCAUAUGCAUGAGCUACUAUCGAAGAUAACUUGUUUCGGCAUCCAAACAAACCCUACCCCUAAGAGGAGUACUAUUUAGGCUUCGUUUGGGAUUACGGGGAGAUUGUGUUAUGUGCUGUGAGAAACGACGAUGAGAAAAUAUCUUGUUUGUUUCCGUACGUAAUAUUGCGUUCCGCAUAUUGCAGUUAAUCGAUUACGAUAUAUUUUCUGUAGUUUCAUCGGAGAACGCAGAAGUAUAUCUCUAUAUGUUUUUUCUCAACUCCAUUUUAUCUAAUAGUGUUAGAUUGAUCUCAAUACCAAACUAAACCUUAGGGCACAAUCAUUCACCAUCGAAAACACAAGUCAUAGUUAGAUCGUAGGGUCCGUCGAGUAGCCCAUGCACAAGAGCCCAUCUACAAUAAGCCUGUGGCCCAUGGCCCACUCUUAAAAGGAGUCGGAAAAAAAUAUAUUAUAUAAAAUAAAAUUUUGCUUGUGCAUUGAGGGUGCACCGUAAUUAAAUUUUUACUAUCUAUGGUAUAAAUAGGAUAUUUUUUUAUUGCACCCUUCUACGGAAUGUAACAUACUGUGACUGCAAUCUCAAAACGAAGCCUAACUAAUAAACAUUAAGAUCUAAUCCAUUUAUCAGAAUGAAUAAUAAUAAUAAUAAUAAUAAUAAUAAUAAUAAUAUCUUAUAUCAAAAAAGGCCAAGGUAUGUAUAAUAAAAAGAUGCUACUAAUUAAUUUUGCUAAAAUAGCAUUGUAAUUUGACUAUUCCAGGAACCUUCUAUACAUAUAUAUAUAUAUAUAUAUAUAUAUAUAUAUAUAUAUAUAUAUAUAUAUAUAUAUACACACAUUACAACAAAAAGGGUCUUUUAAAUAUAGGUAUAUGUCAAAAAAGUGCUGCUAGCUAAAAUUACCGACACUUUUAAAAAGUAUUGCUAUAUGUGGGGUCGCUAGGUAUAUAGUGACAGUUAAAGAGUGUCACUAUAAACUAAAAGAGUGCUGCUAAUUUACCAACACUUAUUUAAGCAUUUAGCAACCGCCGAAACUCUAUCUCGUUGGUUGCGGUGGCGGAGGAGGACGACAGGAAAUGCUUUUCGUCUAGAAUUUUAAUGGAUUGAGUGAAGAGAGAAGAAAAGAUGAUAAUUGAUUUUUCUUUUUUUUUUUCUUUUCUGUUUGUAAUUGGGCCAAAUGGACUGGGUGUGGUGGGUUGAGUAGAGCAAUCUUUUAUUUUUGGUUGGAUUGGGCUUUAUAUAUAGGCAUUAGUAGAUGUUUUUUUAAGUUUUAGAAUAAAUAUAACACUUACUUAAAAGUGUCCCAAAUAUGUGUCGCUAUAACCUAAUUCUGUUGUAGUG
Molecule: long non-coding RNA, 78947 nt
Filed under: Ananas comosus (pineapple)
Lineage: Eukaryota; Viridiplantae; Streptophyta; Magnoliopsida; Poales; Bromeliaceae
Description: long non-coding RNA (ACOM_LNC028614)
Source: RNAcentral